UUUUUUUUUUUUUUUUUUGCCUUGAGAGAAUGUAGGCAAUUCUCUCUUGUUUUACGUGAAGUAAUGUGUUGUACAUGAUGAAGCCUAUAUUUUGCCAGUAUCUGACUUCAAACAUUCCCAUUUUCACAGUAUAACUUCUUCUCCAUAUUGAUCAAGGUCUACUGGCUUGCACUCUCAUUUACUAUUGCAUAAGCAACGCUUACUGAUUUACUCUCAAGGACGACUGUCUAACUUGAAUAGUGGAAGACUGGAAGUGGACUGUCUAAAUAUACGAGAGAAAUGUCAAUGGAAUCCCUUCUUCUUUGAUUUUUCUCGUACUGAAGACUUGAUGUUGGAUAAUUCUAGCUUAAAAUAGCGCAUAACUCCAACAGAUUUUUUUUGCUUUUGUUACGCUAGUUUAAACAGAUUUUAAGAGUCAAAUUCUAAAUAUGUAUAUGAGUUGCAACGAGGGAUGAUUGCAGCUGGGCUUGAGACCGUGAGGUGAUCGUACCAUAUCGGUGACUGCCAUCACAUGCAUAAAGAUGCGGGAGUUUGGCAAUGAUGGCAUUUGUGGGACGCGAAGAAGGGGAUUGAUGGAUUGACAUCUCUCCCGUUCAACCUUUGUUUAGUUCAAAAUUAUCCCAAAAAAUAUUUCGCUUGCAUCACAAACACAUUUCCCAACCUGCCUUUUUAUAUUCCCAACUACUUUUUAUCUCACAUACAUCACAUCACAAAAAGUGUUACAGUAAUUAUUCCAAAUAAUAUUUCAAAUAAUACACUAUCCAAACAAACCCACAAUUUUGUUGUAAUCCAGAGUUUUGCAUACAUUGAGCACAAAAUUUGUGUUUAUUAGUAUUUUUAGUACACCCUAAGUGGGUGCUUAAUUCAUGAAAACGUAUGAUUAUUUUUUUCAUAUUAAGUUACAUAUCAUGACAGACAUAUAUGUAUUUAUCUAAAAAAAAAAAUCUAAAGUUCCUACUUUAGAGGAAGAUAUUGUAUUUAAAAUCAUAGUGGAGAAAAAAAUAGGGAUGUAAACGAGUUAGUGUGAGUAAGCGAUUGUGACAAAUUUUUUUUAACAAUAUAUUGGUAUCAGUUUACCCUUAUAAUUAAAGGUAAAUUAUAAAUUUUAAAAGUGAUACCGUAUGUUUACACCACGCACCGUUACACUAUAUAUACUAGUAUCCAAGGCACACAUUAAUAUAUGUACAACUAGUAAGAAAAAUGUUUGUCAAAUUUGUGGAGUACACAUAUAGAAAUUUUACCAAAAUAAAAAGUAUAAAAAAUAGUUAUUUGGUAGUAAUUCGAAACCAUAAUUGGUAGUUACCAAUGAAAAUUAAGAUUUAUUAAAUAAGUUGAAAGUUAAAAUAAAAAAUAUAUAUUACUUGAUAGAAAUUAUAUUAAUGGUGGAUAAGUGUAUCAAGAGUAGUUUGGACACGCACACACACAGCGAAUUGGACACGCACACACACAACGAAAGUUUAGGGACGAAAUUGGCCAUUUUCCCAAAUUAGAAUUGGAGAGGCCCAUUUCGGAUGGUUCGUUGGUUAGCUACUUGGCUUUUGCGCGCUUUAAGCCUUAAACGCUUGAAUUCGCUCUCACGAACAAAACGUCCCUUCCUAAGGAUCUCUCUUAUGAUUUCUACUUCCAUCUGACGCCAUCAAAAUGACUGACACCAACAAAUUGUCUACAUAUCCUAUCAAUCACUGGAGUCGGCAUAGUGACAUCAAACCUUAACAUCUGUAAAUAAUUUUUGUGAAUUUUUAUGGCCCAUUAUCACAUGUGCUUUAAUUUUUUUGGGCCACUGCAUAUUCUCGAUAUGUCGAUUAGGUGCAGAAGACCCCACACACCAUUCAAGUGGGACAAUUGUCAUACGCUUUCUUAUGGAUCACAUACAACACCAAAGCCUAGAUAAGUUCGUUCAAUUGGUAAAAUCAAAUAAUUUUCUUAUAAAAUAGCUCGUGUUUAAAUUUUGUUAUCGACACGAGAGCUACAUUGACAAAUAAUUUGUAAAAAUUUCUCUAAGCAACUUAUAAUUUCAGAGUCAUGCGUUAAUUUGUGAUAGUGAUCGAGUCGAAUUCAUCCAAAUUUUUUAUUAUAAAAAUGAAAAUGAAAAACAGCACCACAUGGUUUAGCCCACAUAUGUUGCAUAUUAUGUUGAGCCGAUCCAUGCAAAAAGUUUGGCUAAAGAUUUUGCCAGAAGAAAUGAGUUGGGUGGAGGAAUUGUGAGAAACUAAGCUCCGAAGAUUCUAUACUCUUUUUUUUUUUUGACAAUACAUUUGCAUGGGCACCAGAAAAGAAGAGCAACGAUUUCUGGUCUGUCCAUUUAGCACCACGGGGCAAUCAAAUUUUGUCCUUGCUAGAAUUUGUGCCAUGGACCUGAGUUUGAGAUCGGAUCAUCCAGCCUGGAGUUGGACUGUCGAGUCUACCUACCCCAGCUUAGGCCAUAUCAGUCAAUUUUAAUGGGCUUGUCUCUGCAUGAAAUGUGGCUGUUUUGUUGCGCAAAUUCUUGCUCACAUAUGCAGAGCAAAGUCUCCGUUCGGUAAUGGUUCACGUCAUUCAUUUACCCAUUUGAUUUUGAGACCCACCGAAAAAGAAAAAGACUCUCAGCCCAUUGCCAAUAUCCUUCCGCAGGUUAAGUGUAUCCUCGGGACUGGUUCUUUAUUACAAAUUUGUAGAUGUAGAUUCGGCAUUCACUUUAUUACAUUGUAUUUCAGAAAACGGCCUUCUUUGGAUUGUUAAUUUUUCUCAAAAAAAGAAUUUUUUUUGUGAAUAUUCAUUUUACAUAUUUCUUAAUUUUUUUCACCUCACAUCUCAUAAAAAAUGCUAUAGUAAUUUUUUUCCAAAAACUUGCCGAAGGUGCAAUCCAAACAACCUCUCGUUUACAAAACAGAUCAUAGUUUUCUAAGAAGAAAAAGAUUUAUAAACUUGUAAUUUGGAAAAUAAAUUUUUUUACUACAUCAUAUACAUGCUUCCAAUUAUCUUUCAAUCUCAUUUGCAUACAUUACAAAAAUAUAUAUAUAUAUUAUGAAAUUAUUUUAAAAAGUUUUCCCAAAUAAUUUUCUAUCUCUAUAAUAAUUAGCUUUUGUUUGGAUACACCAUUUUUUUUAUAAAAAAAAUAUUUUGCUUGUAUCAUAGAUGCUUUUCUGAAUCUCCAUUUUAUUUUUUCAAUUAAUCUUUUUAUUUCACAUACAUCAUAUUACAAAAUAUGUUACAAUAAUAUUUCAAAAAAAAAUCUAAAUAAUCGUCUUUCUAAACACACAAGUAUCUUGAACUCGUUUAGUCGAUGAUUGCAAUCUAGGGCCUGUCUGGGUGGCCCUUUUUUGCUUGUUUAAAAAAAAAAAAAAGAAAUUUGAUUCAAACACUGUCUACAGUAAAUAUCAAAGACCCGUACGGUUUCGAAAGCAUUAAAAAAUACAUUAAAUGCGAAAUUGGUGGCAGAGGCGAGUACAAUGGUGAGCGGCAAAAAUUCGCGAUGGUGGUUGACAGGUGAUGGAGGGAGGGAGAAGUGUGUUCUUGGUAUUUUCAACAAAUAUCAAUAUUUUUUAAAAAAAAUAAGUACAUUUGUAGUAAUAGUUUAGAUAAAUACUCAGAAGAAACACACUACUCGAGCAGAGUCUGUAGAAAUAUUGAACAGCCUGAAACUACUGGUCCAUGCUCGAACUCCAGAAAAAUCAUAUAGCAAAAUGCUUUUUAUAGAAAACGAGGCUGACCUCUCAGAGGCAGAGUAUGAUUACUAAAUCCUUUGCGGCUUGUGGGUAGGGACGCUAAUAAGUCGUUGCUCAUAAAGAAAAUUCCAAAAAAUUAAGAAAACAACACCGCUAAGGAAAAACUCAGGUCAAUUCAGAAGCAGCAAUGGUUAGACUGAGUGCAGAAGGGACCAGCCAGCAUAGAAGGCCUACCGAAUAAUUUGCUAGACGGAGAAGGGAACUAAAUUGGUGUUCUAUAGCAAAUACUGGGAAGCAUGACCACUGUUACAAGCUUGACAGCUGAAUUCCGAGUCUUUGCAUUUACUUGCGAAAAGCUUACUCGGUAAAGAGGAUGCUUAAUCUGACUACUUUUCGACUCUGAUGGGGCAACAAGAAUCCCCUAGCCUCUAGGGAACUCGUUAUUAAUGAACAUCUAGCUUACCUCUCCCAAAGGAAAGCCCGGAAGAGGGGCAGAAACGAUUGCGGGAAGAAAGCAAUUAUUUUUAAAGGUUCGUGGCCAAGAUUUGGCAAAAAAAUAUAAGAUUCAGAUUUAAUAUUGUAUCUCAUUUUCACAUCAUGGGUAAGGCUUAAAACGACAACCAGAAAUUUUAGCAACAAGAGACUGAAAACUUCUGCAGAGGCUGCUUGAGUAUCCACCACAAGCCUAGAAGCCUCUGUUAUUUUAAGGAUUAUCUUACAGGGGCGCCUUUGAAAGUAGUUCUUACUUUUUCAUCCAAAAAGAAUCUACAAAAACUGUUAGCAUUAAGCGCAUCGAUGGAGCCACUGCUUCUAUAAUUUGUUUUAUUAAUCCUUUCUUUUAAUUUUAAUUUUAAUGUUUUGGGUAAUUCCCUUCUUUUAAUUUUAUCUUCUGGUGGACUUUGAUCUAGCUAACAAAAAGUAUUGAACUUCUUGUUCCACGGCUCCCGCAGGUAGUGAAGCAAAAUUUGCCGGAAUGCAUCAUUUCCCCUGUUAACCGCAAGGGAGAACCUGCAAACCAUGUCAUAGUUAAAAGGAAAAAAAAAUGCCCAAAACAGAGAACCGGGUGAACGGUGGGAGGCUGUGUUUAAUAGAAGGCUUUAAUAAUUCAACGUUGACAAUGUCAGUUCCUCAUAUUUGUAGAACCAUCCACAAAUAAAUUAGAAAAUUACAGAAGCUACAAACAUAGAUGACCCAAAAAUGUAACUUGGAUCAGGAAAAGAAAAAACUAAUCCUAACUCCUAAGGCCUAACCAACUUCAGCAGUAAUGUUCUGCAUCAUUAAUGCUAAUAUACAAAAAGUAAGAUGAGUAACAAACAAUUAAUAGCAGGCGCUAUCAGGUCUCCUUUCAAAACAAGACUGGAUUUGGACAUGUGGUUCCCUUGUCGACAUCAUUUUAAAUAGAAGAUCAAGGUCGGGAUGCUGGAAGUACCCAUCCUUGGGCUUCUGGGGCAUGCUCCUCUGCUGCUGCUUCUGCUUCUGCUUCUUCAUGUAAACUCGUUUCCUUUUUGGGGCUGGCGGACACUCCGCCGCCGCCACCGGAAUCCUGGACCCCUCGUGCGUCGGUGUCCUAUAGCCUUCCUCCACCUCCUCUUCCCCCUUCAUCAUCCCAAAAUGAUCAUAUCCGCCACCGACCUCCAUCUUCAACGUCAUUCAAUCCUCUCGGGCUAACCAACAAAGGUACUUAGCUGCUACUAUGCAAACGAAACAAAAUGGAUAGAUAUGAACCGGAUCAGGGUCUCACUCUAUAUAUACAGAGAGCAAAAUUUAGGUGGCGGUAAUGGUUGGCAAUAUACGGCACAUGGCUUCUUGCGGAAGCUGUUAAGCUUAACUGCUAAGUGUAAUUCUUGCAUAACACAUUUUGACUCAUCCAAACUUUUGGUGGAAGCAACUCAUGACUUCGUCCCACUGGGCUUCCACGUGGCACCAAAAAAGCUACAUCCUUUUCUUUCGCCACCAAGUGGCAAGUGCAAUGACCCGAUUCGCUUGCACGGCAAUGGUUGCAAAUUUGCGGAUAAGGUGUCGGUGUAGUUGUGUUUUGUAAAGUUCUGCUCAAUUAUCAAUUGUGUUCAAUUUUUUAUGUAUAAAUAUUAUACUAAAUUCAUGUUAAGUAUUUUAUUUUUGUACAUAAUUUUUUACUAAAAAUAUAACAAUGUAAAAUAAUAUAUAAAGUAUAACAAUUAGACCGAAUCGCAUGGAACCCAACCGCACUGAUUCCUUUCCCCAAAUUUGCAAUAUUUGCACGGAAAGCAAGAAUCAAUUUCAUUGUGUAAUUACACCACGGUAGAACGAGAUCAAGGGUCAAGUUAGUGAAAAGUUUAAAAGAAGUUGAGGGAUGAUUGACACCAUAAAGCAUAAUGGUUGUGUUUGGAUUGUAACUUUUUGAAGUUUUUGUAGAAAAUGUAUGUAGAGAUUUAAUAUACGUGAGAUAAAAAGGUAAUUGGAAAAUAUGUUUACGAAAACGUAUAGAUUUUUUGAUAUCUUUUCUUUUAAAAAAAUUUUUUACUCCAUUCAAGAGAUAUUCUAACUUCUUGUUGAUGAAUGUCUUUGUAUCUUGUAAAUAAAUUAUGAGCCAUUUUGAUUGAUUUAUUUAAUGCACUAAAAAAGUUAACUAUAAUGGAUACACAUUUUCAUUUUCCUUGAGAGCCAAAAUAGAAAAAAUGAGAUUUUAAUCAACAUGAUCAACUACUAAUAAGUGCUCCUGUAAAUUAUUUUUGUUGCGUUAAUUUGUUACGCCUUGUUUGGAAAGGGAUCUUUCAUUAAUAAAAUAUCUACAUUUUUUCAUAAAUAUAUUUUUCAAUCAUAUUUUUACUUAAUAUAUAUCAAAUUAAUAUAGUAUAUUUUUUUAUAAAAACUUCAAAAAAUUUGCAAUUCAAACACAACCUUAGGAGGGUUCCAAUUUAACAAGUAGGAACCUUACUUAGCUAAUCAUCAAUUUUUAAGCAAGAGAGAGAUAAAGGGGCGAAUAAAAACCGUGCAGGGGGGCUGUAUUGUUGGGGGAGGGCAAACGACAAAAGACUGGAAAGGCGUAAGCCUCAAGACGAAGCGCGCGAAGGUGCACGGAACCGGUGGUUCGAAUCUGAACCUCUCGUUUAGACUUUAGACUUUAUAGAGUGGGGACUAUGGAGGGGGUUUGCUUUUAGGCUUUUAGCGAGCUCGAUCAAUUUGAUGAAAAGGAUAAGACUUUAUUCGACGCCUUAUGCUGAUAUGAUAAUAUUAUUCUCUUUAAUGGGGCCGGACCAACAAACAAGUACUGGGCUAAUGGGCCAGGCUAAGGGCUACAGAUGGUAACACGUGUAACAAGAAGGGCUGAUAACGUCGUUUUCGUGUGGACUCAGGACUGGGCCUACUUUUGGAGGAUGCAGCCCCACGUGCUGUUACGAAGUGACUCGAAAGUUUGGACUUUUGGCACCACGGCGACUCGAAGGGUAAAGAAGCUGAAGAGUGGCGUGCGUUCAUUUCCAUUUUCCACCUUACCUUUCGAGUUUAUCUUCGCUCCUGAUAUGACGUGAUUGCUCGAGAGGCCUUUUUGGUUGAACUUGAACUGGAUUCUUCUUUUUCUUUUCUUUAUGAUGAUGGGGUGGAUUCUCUUUGUUUUCUUUCAUAUUAUAUUUUUUUCCAACAAACGUUUUCUUUCGUAUUAUAUGAUAUACAUUUUACAAUAGAUGUUCAUAAGAGUAUAUUUUUGAGGUUUCCAUCCUGGGAAUUCUAGUCUUGACAAUUGGUUGAGCCUUUUGGGUUAGCUUUUCUAAUUUUUGGAAAAUUGGCUUAAUUUCUUUCCAAAAAUGAUCUUCGCACAUCGGAAUGAGAACUGACGGUCAUAUACAUGAAAUUGUAUUUUGAAUAAUUACUAACCACCAGUCUUUUGGCUGUUGGUCACCAUUAAGCCAUUUAAACUUACCUUCUAUCAAUUAUCACAUUAAGUGGCUUCUUAAAAAAAAAUUCAGACAGAUGCGUAGUGUAUUCGUUUGGUCCGGUGGUGAUUCAGUCCCCACCGGUCCCCCUAGACCCAGUUGGGUCUCCUCCUUAGAUUAGGAUAGUAUAGAAUACUAUAAAUAAAGUGAUAAUUGACACAAAAAAAAUAAUUACUAAAGUACUUAUUAAAAUGCGAUAUAUGUGAGAUAAAAAGAUGAUUGAUAAAAUUUUAAGAAAUUAAUUAAGAAUUAUGUUUGUUGUGCAAAUAAAAUAUUAUUUGAAAUAGAAUUUCCAUCCAAACACAGGCUAUAAUUUUUCUCCAGGAGCUCCCAAAGAAACAGACCAAACGGGCUUGGUAAUGCUUUCAACAAGUGGCCGAAUUCGCACUACUGGGCCAAGGAUCGUUUCCUUUUUGGUCUACCGGAUUGGUUGGCAACUGAUUGAACUUUGUGAUAUUGGACCGGUCCUGGUUUGCUGAAUGGAGUCACUAGUCAACAAAGAUUUGUUGGAAAGAUGGAAGACCAUUGAAAACAAAGCAUGUCAAGAGUAAAUACUUAAUUUAAAUAGUAAAAGGUUGUUAAUACUAGUAAAUACUUAUUUUAAAUACUUGUAUUAUACUACAACAUUAAAACCUUUAUGCACACAUAAAAUGUUCUCUAUCAAAAAUAUGAAAUCUCAAUUUGAUGAAAUUAUUCUAUUUUAAGAAAGCAAUUGCUUGAGAAAUAAACUUUUCGACACAGGAUCAGCACUUAUUAAAUCGACUCAUAAUAAAGUUUAGGAUCUAUUUUGAUUUUUGCAAAAUAAUUUAGGAAGUGUGUUUGGAUAGUAGAUUAUUUGAAAUAAAUUUUUUUUAAAAAAUUAUUAUAUCACUUUUUUAAUAUAAUAUAUGUAAAAUAAAAAAAUGGUUGAAAGAUGUGUUUUGCUCCAUCCAGUGAUAACGGCGGGUAAGUUGACUUGGGGUUUGGAAAUCAAUUGAGUUCAAUCGGAAAGGCCAACUAGUUCACAUAUUGGUCAAAUUUUCUGACACGUGAGUAAACAUUUUCUAUUGCGAUCAUUUAGUAUUUUGCACUAAAAUAUACUGUACUAGAUUGUUUAGUGAAAAUCUGUACAGUCAAUUACUGCAACAAAAGUGAUGGUUUGUGCAAGCAUAAACAAAUAAAAUGAGACUGAUACAAGUUAUAAAUACCUUUUAGUUUAAAUAUCACAAUUUAUCUGUAUCCUCGAACUUCCUUUUUUGUUAUUUAUUUCUCAGGUCAAUGAGAUUGCUUAUAAAGUUAUUGAAAUAAAAAAAUUAUAUUAAAUUCGAUUAAAAAAUAAAUCAACACUAGAGUUUAUUUCUGAGUGCAAAAACGUAAACUUUAAAUAACUCGAAUUUAUUAAUUCACCAUUCUAGUUCUAGAAUUCUACUCCUGUCCAUCUGAUUUAAAAAAUGUGUAUUUCGAUUAGAGUUCUAGAAAUUUACUCCAGUCCAUAUUUUAAUAAGGAAUUAUUUACACAAAUUUAUCUGUUUACAUUAUAAAUAUAUUUUUAAUUACUUUUUUAUAUCAUAUAUAUUAUAUCAAAAAAUAUUUUUUAAAAAAUUAUUCCAAAUAAUCUUCAAUCCGGAGGCAUUCCAAUGUAACUUAGCCGGUUCAAUUAAACUGGUAAACUUGGAGGAGGGAUGGACGCAGAGCUGAACCGGUCCGCCCUCACCAGGUAGACGCUAAGAAAGCCGCUUCAUGAAAAGGUUCUUCUUUCUCUGCACAUAAAACCUCCUCACCAUGUGCAGCUGAGGUGGGAAAGUAACUAGGGUUCAACCGCCACAUCUACAGUAAUUACCACCAAAAAAGAAAAGGAAAGAAAAAUGCCAUUCAUAUCGAAGAUAGAGAGGCAGACGGAUUACAGCCAGUUCGAUUCAACUGUCCCCAUCGUCAUCGACAAUGGCGGUUCAUAUUUCCGCAUUGGGUAACAAAAGCCCUAAUUCCUUGGUUCGCUUAGAUUAAUUUGCGUUGUGAAGUUGUGUUUUGAUAAAAUUACCGAUAAAUUACAUCCUUCAAUUAUGAUUUGGUCUGGUGAUAGCUGGGCAGGGGAGGAUGAGCCUCGGGUUAUAUUCCGGAACAUUGUUCAGAGGCCUCGCCAUAAAACCACUGGUAUCUCUUGAUAUACAUAUAUUUGUAAUUUUCACUAGUGUAAUUUUUCGGCAUUAUGCCAAUGUUAAUCUCCCUGCCUCUGAAGUUGGAUUUGAACUGAAUAUACCAUUGUGCUAGAUUUUUCCCCCAUCUUCUUCUUCUUCUUGUUUUUUUUUUUAUUUGAGCAUGACAUGAAUGAUGGAAAACUUAUUUUUAACGGGUAGGCUAGAUAUCUCUUUUAUAUACUCGUUCAACAUAAGCAAAAAUUUUUGGGUCAUGUGCAUGCCAAACUUCUUUUACCAAAGUUUUGAUUUUUGAUUAAGAUGAAUGAGCUUCAAAUGUCUUCCACCCUCAAUUUUUGGUGCUCUCCUGUAAUUGAAUUCUUUUAGUUUUAUUAUUAUUAUUAUUCCUGUAAUUGCAUGAGGGCAGUAUAUCUGCUUCUUUGUUUUUGCUGGAGCACUAGAUUGAGUGUAAUUAAUACAGUCAAAUGAUUUAUGUAUUUACAUUUGUGGUCUUUCCUGUUCCACUCAACCUAUAAUUUAUGAUCUGAAUGGAAAGAACAAAACCUCUGCAUUCACAUGUUUUAGAUUGCAGAGGUUUUGGACUCAUGGGUUCAAAAUGGUUGCUUCACAUGUUUGAAUCUACACGUAGUUCCGAACUUCUAGUUUUAUAAUUUGAUUUUACAUCAAUUAAAAGUUUUUUCUGCAUUCUUUCUAAUGCAGGUGAAACAGUCACAGUUGUUGGUGAUCAUAACCCAGCGCUACUAAGAUAUUUUGAUUGCACACGUUCAGGACCUCGUUCGGCUUUUGAUGGCAAUGUUGUGUAUCAGUUUGAGAUAAUGGAAUAUGUAAGUUUCAUUAAUUUUGAGUAGUAACUGGGUUUCAAGUUACCUUGCUGAAACUUUUCACUCUAUAUUCUCCAAUGAAUACUCUUUACUGUAGAAUGGUGAUCAACUUGUUUCAUAAUUCUAAUAGGAUAGAAAGCACACCCUCUGUGUCCAUAUGCGUCACACAGUUAGCAGUUACUUUCACCCUGUCAAUAAUGAGAUACUAAAAGUCGGUACUUUGUUAGACUCCUAAGAAGCAUGUGUUAUGUGUUACAUAUUAAUAACUUGCUUUCUCAAUCUGCAUCACAAAACUUAUCUGUCAUUUUGUAGAAAUUUUCUCAGUGAAUUACCAUCUUGAUUUUAUGAGUAUUUACUAGCCAUAUACCAAUCUUUGGAGUUUGUUAAGAAUACAAAAGCCCCAAAUCAUUCUAGCCUCUUACUGCUUUAUAUAAUAUUACCUGAGGUCAUAUAAGCAGUAUGUUUGAUAUUCAAGCAGUUUCCUCUGAAAUCCACCUUACUCUUUAUACAAGUCUGAACUGACUAAUUAACGCCUAAACGCUUAGCUUCAGUUAUAGCAAUUGUACAUCUUACAAAAUGUAAAGUUUAACAGAACAAAGAAACUCUGAUUGGCGGCUGUAGAUGAAUGUAGAAUAAGGCAGAAUACAUGACACAUAAUGUAAUUUUCCUUUUAUUUUUCAGCUUUUCGUUAAUCCAAAUUUUUGGAUAUCUUAAUAUGUUCCAUCAAGUUACCUUCAACAUGUUUGUAUGAUGCUAUUUUGCAUUGAUUGCAAACUGAAACAUCUUUGUUUCUUACAUCUACUUUAUGUUCACAGAUCAAGUUGCUGAGUUGUGUGUUUUUUCUUGCAUGUAUAGAUUCUUGACUUCGGUUUUGAUCGAUUAGGUGCUGAUCAGUCUCAGGUACUGCUACAUCACCUUUCAAUUCUUUACUCAGCUAUAUCAAAGUUAUUUUUGGUGUGAUCUGAUGUAAAAUGCAAUGCGAGGUUUAUCAAUUUGGAAGCUGCUGGUUUUUCUUACUGUCGUCAUAUUUUAUGUGAUUAUUCAGUUUUGCUUGCAAAGCUAUUUAUGUUGUAUAGCGUGAAUAGAUAGUAGCUUUAUUCUUGGAGAUCUGUUUGUCAUUGCAUUCAUCCCCCCUAGUUUUACUUAAUAAACUUUUGUGACAUUUCGUACAGACCAAAUGUUUCGUGUUGAUUUUUUGUGUGUCAAAAGUCAACUGUUCAUAUAAGCAGUUGAGAUUCUGAUUUGCACUUUAUAUAUAACUGAGGUAAAUACUGUGGGCUCAAAGCAUUGAAUGUCUUCAUUGAUCUCUUUAAAGAAUUUACAAGCUUUCUUUGCAAGUUCAAGCAGGCAAUGUUUGACAUCCCAAAAAUUCUGUGGUUUAGAAUAAGCUUUUUAUGUCAAUUUGAUUCAUUUCUUCAUGUUUAUUUUUGUGCAGCUUAUAGAUGUCUGACUUCAUUUAUGUUGUUUGCAAUAUUUAUCACUUCAUAUUUGAUUCCUGAAUUUCUUGAUUUUAGAUAUCAGCGUUGGUAAUAUUCAUGUAGUUGAUUUCAUGGCAGAACAGAUUGACCAUCCUGUUUUGAUCACUGAGUGUGCUUGCAAUCCUAUCCAGUCUCGUUGUAGAAUGGCAGAACUUCUUUUUGAGUCUUAUGGAGUUCCUUCAAUAGGUAUGCUUGCCAAUUGUUAGUUAACUGAAGCUUCUGCUUGUUUGCGCAAAUAUUUUAGUUAGACUGUGAAACAGGGAUGCAAGCCCUUAAUAUUAUUGUCAACUGCAUGUUUUAUCUUUUUAUGGAUGUAGCAUGAUUGACACACCAUGGUCACAGCAUAUUGUACUUGUAUUUCUCGUUUUAUAUGGUCUGAUGCCAUGAGUGCUUGGACUGUUGCUAUUUUAAUGUAUCACUUACUUUUUACUUUCCCUUUAGCAGCAUUUGGUGUCGAUGCCGCAUUCAGCUACAAGUACAACCAACAACUUGGAAUAUGUAAUAGUGAUGGUCUUGCAAUUUGCUCAGGAUUUAUGACUAGUCAUGCUAUUCCGGUAUGCUUCACUUGUUUUUAUUGAAGUUCAUAGUGAUUUUGUGGAUAAUUCCAAUUACAUGGAGCAUUGAGUACAGAAACAUAGCCAUCACAAAUCUCAACUAUGCGUCACCGCCACAAUUCUUUUGCUGUUCCAUUAAAGGUUAGGUUAGUUUAUUCUGAAGUUCAGUGCCAUACCAAGUCACUAUCUUGAUCUGGUGCCACUGAGACUACAAUUGGUAUUAAGUAUGAAAAGACCUAGAUAGAAUAGAUUAUAUUCUUCUGGAAGAAACAUGUUGUGCAUGUAGGGUACACCCAUCCUUAAUAAUUUCAUGAAUUUUGCCAUUAACUUUUUGUAGAUCAACACAAAUAUGCUUUGCCUAUGACCUAUUAAAGAAUUAGUUAUCUAUCUGUAUUUGCCGAAUUAUUCGUUGGAUAUGCACAACCUGUAGGCCUGUCCUACAAACCAGCCAAACACCUAAGCUUGAGCUUGGCAUCAUGGAUUCAGCCAAGUACAGCAUCAGGUAGUUCACAUGUUGCUCAUAGGUGGAUGCUGAAAAUUUUACUUUUAGUGGGCAACCUAUAAUUGACUUGUGAUAAAUAUUCUCAAACUCUACGGGGGCAAUACUUUAAUUUUGUAAAGGAGUAGUUUGAAGAAUUCCAAAUUUUCAAGGGGGGGAAAGGUAAUAUCUUGGAUAAGUAGGGUGGUGGUCCUCCCCUACACCCCUGCAACCAAAGGUCUGGGAUGGAUUGCUCGAGAUUAUUUGUGGUGCAAGGUUUGCAGAGUUUGGUGUUUGGCAUAUGUAGUGCCUUGAAUAUAAUAUUUUAGCCCAGGAUUGCUUAUAACCAGCUCAAGAUGCUUCUUUAAGGCUCAAGCUAGAAGAAGAUGAAUCACUGAGCUAUGAACCAAAUUGAGCAGCAUCCUUCUCACUGGGGACUAGGAAUGUUUGAUAGCUGAGCAAUGGUUUACUGUGGGGAAUUAUGAAGCCAGAAUAACAAAGUGAAACAUUAACACCUGCAUGUAAUACCAGUUAAUGUAUUCAGUCUCUGAUACUUAUCCUAGUAUUAUAUGAAGUACUGCACCUUAACAACUUGCAAUGGUCUACAAUGUAUAUGUGUAAGUUUGAAUUCUUAUCCAUUUUUCCUAUCACAGUUCAUAAAUGGAGAACCUGCUUACGAAGCAUGUUGCCGAACUAAUGUUGGUGGAUACCAUGUUACCGAUUAUCUGAAGCAGCUUCUUUCACUUAAAUAUCCCCAUCACAUGUAAGCUUGAGAAUGCCGAUCCCUCUGCAAAUGCAAUUGAAACUUUUCUUCAUUUGUUUUUUUAGUCUUGAUCGCUUAUUUUUUUCAAACAGUUCUAAGCUCACAUGGGAAAAAGUUGAAGACCUUAAGAUGGAACACUGUUACAUUGCACCAGAUUAUACAUCAGAAGUCCGAAUAUUUCAGGUAGUGUAGUUUGGUCUUUUUGACUUGUCUGCAACUACUCUGCUUUGCUUCUGCAAUCAUCUAAGCAAUUCUUGUAACAGAAAGGGGCUAAAGAAGCUGAAGAAAAGACCAGGUGCUGGCAGCUUCCUUGGACUCCUGCACCAGCGGAAGAACAACCUUCAGAAGAAGAGUUAGCUAGAAAGGCAGCUCUAAAGGAGAGACAGGGUCAAAGACUAAGGGAGAUGGCUGAAGCAAAGAGGUCCUCUCGAAUUAAUGAGCUUGAAAAUGACAUUAGAGGUUUGGAAUUCCUCUUAAAGCAGCUCAAGCAGGUUGAAGAGAAUAAUGUUCCUGCAUUUCUCAGAGAGACUGGCUAUGCCUCUAAACAGGAAAUAGAAUCUAAUCUGGCAAAGGCAAUACAAUCUUUACGCAAAGCAAAGGGUGAACAAGUUGAAACUGAGGAGAAGAUGGACGCUUCCAUGGCUGACAAGUAUAAUCUUGUCAAUGUGCCUGAUGAUGUGCUGACACCGGAGCAGGUGUGUGUUCCGAUUCCAUGUGUUCUGAUUCCAUGUGUUCUAACAGAUCUUUGUUUUAUAGUUUCUGUUGAUUUUGGUAUUUUCUACUGCACAGCAAUUCCUAGUUAAAUAAGAUACAAGACCAGUGAAUGGCUGCUAAAUUGGAACCACAGUAUGGUUUUCAUAUUCUGUUCGUAACUUUCAGAAAUUUAAAUUUUGCACUCUUGUUUCCAUGGCAGCUUAAAGAAAAAAGGAAGCAGUUGUUUCUCAAAUCCACAACUGAGGCCAGGCAACGAGCUAAACAGAAGCGGAUUGAAGAGGAAUUAGAAAGAGAAAAGCAAAUGAAAAUGGAGGAGGAAAAGCGCUUGUAUGUUUUUGAUUCGCAAUCUUAACUUGUCUAAUCAUUGCUUGAUGAUAGUGUAGAUAUGUAGUCUCUUUUACGUUGUAUUAUUAUUACAUUAUGCUUUGCUUCUGAAUGUAGAGAGAACCCAGAACGUUAUUUGGAGGAUUUACGUGCUAAAUACCGAGAGCUUUCUGAGAAAGUCGAGCAGCGAAAACGCUUGAAGACAAAUGGCAACAACACAAAUGGGAACCAAAAUGGUUCUGGAGGUGUGGGCCGUGGUGAAAGAUUGAAUGCUGCUCAAAGAGAAAGGAUGCGCCUCCUGACAACAGCUGCAUUUGAUCGAGGGAAGGGCGAGGACACUUUUGGUAUCAAAGAUGAAGAUUGGCAACUUUACAAGCUAAUGAGUAGAGAUAAUGAUGAUGAAGAAGAUGAGAAGUCAAAUGAGGAUGAAGCAGACCUUGCUCGCGUCUCUUCAAGACUGCGGGUUUGUGAUUUUUUUAGAUCUCACGUCCUUGGUGUGUUCUUACAGAUAUUUCUUUUAGCAAUUUCAUCCAUUUUUGCCUGUCAUAUUUGUACAGGAAAUAGAUCCGACAUUUUUUCCCAAAUCAGAGUCAGGAUCCUCGACUGCGGAGCCGCCACGAUUUCGUCCUCUAACUAAGGAAGACUUCCAGCUCAUUCUAGGAGUAGAAAGAUUCCGGUGCCCUGAGGUUCUGUUCCAGCCCAACUUAAUUGGGAUAGAUCAGUCAGGGUUGGAUGAGAUGGCUGGGGUAUCAAUAAGAAGGUUGCCGUGUAAGAACCAAGGGUUGGAAGAGAGAAUAACAAAAUCAAUCCUUAUGACUGGUGGGAGCUGUCAAUACCCGGGAAUGGCUGGGCGCUUGGAAGCUGGGAUUAGGAUGAUUAGGCCAUGUGGAACACCUAUAACAGUUGUCAGAGCAUCAGAUCCAAGUCUUGAUGCAUGGCGUGGAGCUUCUGUUUAUGCUGCUGCCAUGCAAUUCCCCAAUCAGACAUUUAGUAGGACGGAUUACUAUGAAAAGGGCGAAGAUUGGUUGCGGAGAUAUCAAUUCAACUACACACUUUGAUUGUUGUAGAUGAACUUUAUAUAUUGUUAGGGGCUUCCUUGGCUUGGUGCUAUUGAGAAGUGCUCAUAACUUGGGAAUUUGCUAUUUUACACCAUUCAUCUAUAUUUAUGGGUAUAGACUGAUGCAUCUGAAUUCUCCGAGCUGUCCGGCUCUGCUCAUUGAUGAACUAGUAGGGAACUUUUGUAGUUGUCCCGGAUAUAACAUGCGAAGUACUUCCGUAGCCUCGUGAUUAAUCUGCGAGGUUCUGCCUCCCUCUUGCACUUGUGUUCCAGAAGUUUACAAGCUGCCAAACCGGUAAAUUCAGGAAAUAAGGGAAAAAAAGGCCAAAAAAUGUGGCAGUUGUACGCACAUACAGUUCAAUCCCUACUGCUGAAAACUAAAGCGAUACCGCGCACCGAUUUCUUGCUUCUGUCGGUAGAGUUGCCUUUGUCUGAAGUUCCUUGAUUAACCUCUUACUUUGAUCGAUGGUUGAAGCCACUUUUUUUAGAGCUAAUUUAUUAUUAACUUUACAGUGCUAUUUUGAUAGAUCGUUGAAGUCACAUUGUUUAGAGUUAAUUUUAUAUACACUAACAAUAUAUAUUGUAUCAUGAUUGGAUGUGUAUCACAUUUAAACAUUGAAUUGCUAGUUAGAUGCAUGCCACGUUCAAAAGUCUAUUUUCAUCAAAAUUAUUUUUCCUUUCAAAUCCACUUUAAAGAAACAAGACCUUGAUAAUCUAUAUCUAUAUAAAUUUGAGAAGGGAUUUUUAGGAACAAGCCUCCACAAGCCUUCCCACUCUCAACUCUAUUUUCCUAGCAUUUCACAUUUAUCUUAUUUCAUAAAAAAUAUCAUGAGCACAUUACAUCCCCACGUUUCCCUCAAAUAAGGAGUUAACUUCAACUAACACUCCCACGUUCCUUCAAAUAAAAAUUUAACUUCCACUUACAUUAAAACUGUUUCCAUUUACCCGUGCGUCAGAUCUAUAUCUAUCUUAACUCCCACUAUCUCACUCCCACUAUCCCACUAUCUUAACUCAUAUUUUUGUAUUUAUUUUAAUACAUAAAAAAGUAGUGAGUUAUUACCCACCUUAUCACCAAUCAAUAUUCCCACUAUCCCACUAUCACCUUAUCACCAAUCAAUAUUCUCACUAUCUCACUCCCACUAUCCCACUAUCUUAAUUCAUCCUACAAUUACUCCUCCCUCUCAGUUUCUUAUUUGUUUUAGGUUCUCUAUUGAUUUUGUAAAUGUAUUGAUUUUGUUUCUUUUGUGAGCAGUAGUGGAAGAUAUUAUGUGCGGAGACUCUAGCAGAAAUCAACCUUCUUGCGGCCGACUUAAUUUUCCAAGUCAGUCCCCUCUGCUUUUUAAGUAUGUUUUGCUUUUCCUUUAUUUUUUGUCAUGAAUGAUAUUGCAUUGAUUUUCUGAUCAUCCAUUAUUUCUGAAAAUUUUUUACAAAAUCUUAUGAAUGGUUGUUUGCUUAUUGUUACACUGUAAAGUAAAGAUAAAAAGGUAUUGCUUGCUUUAUAUAAUUGCGGAUGGUAUAGGUUCAUGAUUGAGGGUUCUACUAUUUCUAACAUAAAUUGUAUAUUAUAAAAAUUUAUUUGUUUGUAUUACUGAAAUUUUUUAAUUAUUUUUUAUUGCACAUUUAUCACAUAAAAUAGGUGUUACGAUAGUUAUUUUCAUAAUUUUAUUCCAAAAAUGAUCGUGCAUGAAAUAAAAAAAAAGAUUUUUUGAUAAUUAAAAAAAAAUAAUUAAAAAUAGUUUAUAAUUGGAGAAAAAUAAUUCAGAUACUACUAAUAACUAAGGCACUAUACGCCCAUUAUUAAAAUUGGAUUAAUUUUUAAUUUCGUCAGAAAUCCUUUUGGCAAAAUUGCAUUAUAGCCUUUCUUUUCUUUAUCAACAAUGACAAUUACAACUACGUAAUUCAUCUAUCUAACAACAGCACAAUUCAACUCAUGGAAUAAAUAGUUCAUUGCUUAAAGUACUUAAAUGAAAGGUUAGAGUCAAGUCCUACUUAACACCUGCAAGUAAUCUAUAUCUAUAUAAAUUUGAGAAGGAAUUUUUAGCAACAAGCAUUCACAAACCUUCCCACUCUCAACUCUAUUUUUCUAGCAUUUUGCAUUUAAUUUAUUUCGUAAAAAAAAUCAUGGGUACGUUACACCCCCACGUUUCUCUCAAACAAGAAGUUAACUCCAACUAACACUCCCACGUUUUUCUCAGACAAGAAGUUAACUCCCACUAACACUCCUUACAUACCUUACUCCAACUAACACUCCUCACCCACCUUCCUACUACAUAUAGAUAUAGAUUUUCGCAGAUCAUCUCCAUGAAGGUAAGGUAUACUGGUUUCAAAAUAUAUAUGUAAUUCCGGCAUAUCUUAAAUAUCGGCUUGCACCACAUUAGUACCAAUUAUCAUUUGGAAACGAUACGAAUAUAGUGAAUAUCUAUAUCUAUAUGUAUUCAGGAAGGGAUUUUUAGCAGAAACCCUCUCCAUGCCUUCUAAACUUGUCAUACUUUUUUCUAGAUUUUUGUAUUUAUUUUAAUAAAUAAAAAAGUAGUGGGUUAUAACCCACCUUAUCACCAAUCAAUAUUCCCACUAUCCCACUAUCACCUUAUCACCAAUCAAUAUUCCCACUAUCUCACUCCCACUAUCCCACUAUCUUAACUCAUAUUUUUGUAUUUAUUUUAAUACAUAAAAAAGUAGUGGGUUAUAACCCACCUUAUCACCAAUCAAUAUUCCCACUAUCCCACUAUCACCUUAUCACCAAUCAAUAUUCCCACUAUCCCACUAUCUUAACUCAUCCUACAAUUACUCCUACAAAUUCUUCUUUUACUGAUCGACUUAAUUAACUUAUCGAGUUAAUUCCCUCACCUUCUCUCUCAGUUUCUUAUUUGUUUUGGGUUCUCUAUUGAUUUUGUAAAUUGAUUUUGUUUCUUUUGUGAGCAGUAGUGAAAGAUAUUAUGUGCAGAGACUCCACCAAAAAUCAACCUUCUUGCGGCCGGCUUAAUUUUACAGGUCAAUCCCCUCUGCCUUUUAAGUAUGUUUUGCUUUUGCUUUGUUUUUUGUCAUGAAUGAUAUUGCAUUGAUUUUCUGAUCAUACAUUAUUUCUGAAAAAUUUUUACAAAAUCUUAUGAACGGUUGUUUGCUUAUUGUUACACUGUAAAUCAAAGAUAAAAAGGUAUUGCUUGCUUAUAUAAUUGCGGAUGGUAUAGGUUCAUGAUUGAGGGUUCUACUAUUUCUAACAUAAAUUGUAUAUUAUAAAAAUUUAUUUGUUUGUAUUACUGAAAUUUUUUAAUUAUUUUUUAUUGCACAUUUAUCACAUAAAAUAGGUGUUACGAUAGUUAUUUUCAUAAUUUUAUUCCAAAAAUAAUGGUGCAUGAAAUAAAAAAAGAUUUUUUGAUAAUUAAAAAAAAUAAUUAAAAAUGGUUUAUAAUUGGAGAAAAACAAUUCAGAUACUACUAAUAACUAAGGCACUAUACGCCCAUUAUUAAAAUUGGAUUAAUUUUUAAUUUCGUCAGAAAUCCUUUUGGCAAAAUUGCAUUCUAGCCUUUCUUUUCUUUAUCAACAAUGACAAUUACAAUUACGUGAUUCAUCUAUCUAGCAACAGCACAAUUCAACUCAUGGAAUAAAUAGUUCAUUACUUAAAGUACUUAAACGAAAGGUUAGAGCCAAGUCCUACUUAACACCUGCAAGUAAUAUAUUACAAUUAGAAAAAAGAAAAUGAUUCAAGAGGAGCAAAAAACUCACCAAGCCCCUGACAUAUGUGCAAUCGUCAAGGCACUUUUGAGUAUUUAAAACUGCAUUCCUUAGUUCAGGUAACCACUUCUCUGUAAUUGUUUUCAUUUGAUUACAAUGCAAUUCUAUUAAAUUCUAUUGAUGCUAUUUCUAUAUUAAUUAUUAUAUUUUUUUUUGUUAACAGUUCUCAUACAAUGUAUCACUAUUUACACAUAAAAUAAAUACAUAAACUAUUGAUUUGCCUUUUAAUAUAUAUUUUAUUUCUAGAUCAAAGAAAUGAAAAAUCUAACUGUCCUCAAGAUCGCCAGGCAUCCACAUCACCAAUGAUUUUGCGUGAUCAUGGUAAAUAUACAGUUUCUUAUAUCGUCAUACUCAUAUUACAUACACAUUUUUUAGCUACACUAUCUUGCUAAAUCAACUAUAGAUACAAUACAAUACAAUUGUAUUACAAUUGUUCGAUUACAAUACAGUUGUAUUACAUUCUAUUGAUGUUAUUUAUAGACAACUUAGCAAUUUUAUAGAUUAACAAUUUAUUUUAUUUUAUAGAUUACCAAUUACUACAUGUACCAAAAUAUUUUUAUAUAGGGAUUACUUCAUUAACUAUGGGUGCUAAUAACAAUUCAAUUGGUGCAUAUUUUUCAUUUGAUUACAAUACAAUUGUAUUAAAUUCUAUUGAUGCUAUUCUAUAUUAACUAUUGUAUUUUUUUGUUAACAAUUCUCAUACAAUGAUAAAAAAAAUUCUUAUACAACCGAAAAAAGACGGUUCUUGAAUGAUAUAUACAUUCUAUUAUAUUUCAAACUAUUGUUAAACAGAUAUUAUAUUUUAAUUUGAUUGGUAAAAUUUUUUCACCUUUAUUUGUUCACCAUUUUAUUUUUUCCAAUAAUGUCAGCACCGUGCAUAGCACGGGUAUUCCCACUAGUAUAUUACAAUUAGAAAAAAGAAAAUGAUUCAAGAGGAGCAAAAAACUCACCAAGCCCCUGACAUAUGUGCAAUCGUCAAGGCACUUUUGAGCAUUUAAAACUGCAUUCCUUAGUUCAGGUAACCACUUCUCUGUAAUUGUUUUCAUUUGAUUACAAUGCAAUUCUAUUAAAUUCUAUUGAUGCUAUUUCUAUAUUAAUUAUUGUAUUUUUUUGGUUAACAAUUCUCAUACAAUGUAUCACUAUUUACACAUAAAAUAAAUACAUAAACUAUUGAUUUUUAAUUUAAUAUAUAUUUUAUUUCUAGAUCAAAGAAAUGAAAAAUCUAACUAUUCUCAAGAUCGCCAGGCAUCCACAUCACCAAUGAUUUUGCGUGAUCAUGGUAAAUAUACAGUUUCUUACAUUAUCAUACUCAUCUUACAUACACAUUUUUUGGCUGCACUAUCUUGCUAAAUCAACUAUAGAUACAAUACAAUACAAUUGUAUUACAUUCUAUUGAUGCUAUUUAUAGACAACUUAGCAAUUUAUUUUAUUUUAUAGAUUACCAAUUACUACAUGUACCAAAAUAUUUUUAUAUAGGGAUUACUUCAUUAACUAUGGGUGCUAAUAACAAUUCAAUUGGUGCGUAUUUUUCAUUUGAUUAUAACACAAUUGUAUUAAAUUCUAUUGAUGCUAUUCUAUAUUAACUAUUGUAUUUUUUUGUUAACAAUUCUCAUACAAUUAUAAAAAAAAUUCUCAUACAACUGAAAAAAGAUGGUUCUUGAAUGAUAUAUACAUUCUAUUAUAUUUCAAACUAUUGUUAAACAGAUAUUAUAUUUUAAUUUUAUUGGUAAAAUUUUUUCACCUUUAUUUGCUCACCAUUUUAUUUUUUUUCCAAUAAUGUCAACACCGUGCAUAGCACGGGUAUUCCCACUAGUAAUAAUAAUACGAGAUGUCAUAAUCUCUUUAUAAGGAUAAUAAUUUUACGACAGAUGAAUGUAGUGAUCUACAAAUUUCAUCUUGACGAACAAGAUACAGUGAACUCCAUGGCUGAUCACCUAAUCUCCCCGAAUUUGCUCGUUCAGAUUUAUAGAUUUUUUCCCCUCCAUGAAUGACUUCCUUGGUCCUUCCCAAAAGGGGUAAACUAAGAGCUGAUAUCUCCACUGAACUCUCCAGUAAAGAAUAACAACAUCAGCCCGGUCCACGAACGGCUACUUUUUCGCAAACCAACCCAAAAAAUAAAUCAGAUAAUCAAAGAGUUAAGGCUCCUCCGCCCAUAUGACGAAAAGUUCCACAAGGCUUCCCCGGCACAAAUGACCGUUAGAACAUGACCAAUCUUCUUCAAAUCCCUAAACGCCCUUUACCUUUCCUUGCACAGAAAAAUACGAAAAAAAAAAACUUCUUAAAAAACUAACCGUUAAGCUCCCCUCCCACCAGCUCAGUCCACUCCAUUUCCAUUCCUACACUGCCCACCCUUCCCUGCUGACAUUCUUUUCCUCCCGACUAAAACUCUUGAAAAAGCCCUCUCUUAAACUCUCUUCUCAAACAGAGAGGGCCUCUUUCAAAUUAUUCUUUAGAAGGUGAAAGAAAACAGCAGAAGUUACAGAUCAACAAAGGGAAAAAGUUGAACUCAGAAACAGAAAAAUGGAUUCAACUCAAAGAAGAAAAAGUGGGAUUAACCUUCCAGCUACAAUGUCUGAGACCUCUCUUCGGCUGGAGGCCUUCUCAUCCGCCUCCCCGGCUCGAUCAGUAUCGAAUUUGCCAUCACCUAUGACAAUGUCACCAAGAACUAUAUCCAAUCUUUCAUCCCCUUCAUCAAAAUCUACGAGUUGCAGUGACAGGUUUAUUCCUUGUAGAUCAUCAUCGAGGUUGCACACGUUUGGGCUGAUAGAGAAAGCGUCGCCAGUGAAGGAGGGAGGAGGAGGAGGCAAUGAGGCUUAUUCGAGGUUGCUGAAAUCUGAGCUUUUUGGGACUGAUUUUGGUUGUUUUUCUUCUCCUGCAGGUAAGGGGUCACCAUUGAGUCCUAACAAGAAUAUGCUGCGGUUCAAGACUGAGGUUUCUGGGCCUAAUUCUCCUUAUUCGCCUUCUGUCCUGGGGCAGGACAGUGGGCUUUCCGCUGAGGUUUCAACCCCUCCUAAACCGCCUCGAAAGGUUCCCAAGACACCCCACAAGGUAUACGACUUACUUUAGCCUUCAAUUUUGAUUGUUAAAAAUUGUCAAUUUUGCUGACCCCUAACAAUACUAACAUAAAUACGUGAAAAUCCAGCGAUAAAUUGACAAAAAAGGAUUGAGAAACGUUAGCGUGGAAUUUUUAGAUUUUGUAUGUAUUAAGUAAUUGGGGAAGUGAGCAAAAAGGGUGAAGCAAAGUGCAUAGUGAUUGUUAAUCGACCAUGUGAUUGUUUGCCUAGAUACCUGGGGGACCCUCCUUUAAUCUACUCCUGAGCACCAUUAGGCAAAAUUGUACUAAUUGAUUAUAGCGGCCUUUGGUUUGGUACAGAAUUUCAAUGCUUUUUCAUGUUCAUAAUACUGUCUGGAAAAAAAGAAAUUGCAGCUUAGCAAUAGUUUGAUGGUCCAGAGAAUUUUCUCUGCUUUGUUACGCCAUUUUGGUUUGAUGUCUUAUGGAGGACUGCCCUUCUGGUGUCUGUAGUUAAGCGUUUGGUUUAUUUAAAGAAAAGCUUUUGCCCUUAUUCAUUGAACUUGAAGCAAAGAGUGAUAGAGUAUUAUUCAAUCAUUAAGGCCUCUACGACUGCAGGUUCUUGAUGCGCCAGCACUUCAAGAUGACUUCUAUCUGAACCUAGUUGAUUGGUCAUCUCAAAAUGUCCUUGCAGUUGGCUUAGGAACUUGUGUCUAUUUAUGGAGUGCCUCAAACAGUAAGGUGAGUUGAUGGUUAAAAGAUCUUAAUCUUCUUUGUUUCAUCAGGGUGAAGUAUGUUAUUAUAAUUUGCUGCAAACAAGAAAGUAUUUAUCAAAAGCAGCAGUUACUGAUUUUCCUCUCAACUCCAUAUUUCUAUUCCCUUCUAAACCAUUUUAGGUAACAAAGCUGUGCGACUUAGGACCUAAUGAUGGUGUCUGCUCAGUCCAAUGGACCCGAGAGGGUUCCUACAUUUCAAUUGGCACAAAUCUUGGUCAAGUUCAGGUAUAAUGUUUUUUCUUUCUUUUAACAUAUUAGGGGAGGGGUAGUACAUCGUGCGCACCUUUUGAUGUCUCGGAUAUUAUUUGAAUUUGGAAGCGACUGAGCAUAGUGCUAUCCUCAGGUUUGGGAUGGAACUCAGUGCAAAAGGGUCAGAACCCUGCCUGGGCAUCAAACAAGAACUGGAGUCCUAGCGUGGAGUUCACGCAUAUUAUCUUCAGGAAGCAGAGAUCGGAACAUACUACAACAUGAUCUCCGAGUACCGAAUGAUUUUAUAAGCAAACUUUCUGGCCACAAGUCUGAGGUAACAGACAGCCAUAUUGUCAUUUGCCUGUAGAAACUCAAAUCUAACCAAUGAGUACUUCAAGGGAAUGUCAAGAUAGCUAACAUUUACUAAUGUCCCCCGACUCAGGUAUGUGGUCUUAAAUGGUCUCAUGAUGAUAGGGAACUCGCAUCUGGAGGAAAUGACAAUCAGGUAGGCAAGCUGAAUGUUCUCUUCACAUUGACAGAAUUAACUAAGCAAUGCUGUAAUACUCUUCUUUUAUAAGUGACGUGCAGCUUUUGGUCUGGAAUCAGCACUCCCAACAGCCAAUUUUGAGACUCACAGAGCACACUGCUGCUGUAAAGGCGAUUACCUGGUCUCCUCACCAGAGUGGGCUCCUCGCUUCUGGUGGAGGAACUGCUGAUAGGUGCAUUCGAUUCUGGAAUACUACCAAUGGCAAUCAAUUAAAUAGUGUGGAUACAGGAAGCCAGGUUUGUGGUAAAAUUUUUUUUUAAUAGCCAAGAGAAUUCUUGAUUGCUUAGAAUGGUUACGCUACCACAUUCUAUGCAGCAUAUCUUGAAUUUCCAGAGGGAUUUUGUGAAGAGGGUUUAUGCUUUUCUGAUGCGUUCCGUUCCAUACAUACCUGUAGGUAUGCAAUCUAGCAUGGAGUAAGAAUGUGAAUGAACUAGUCAGCACUCAUGGGUAUUCGCAGAAUCAAAUUAUGGUAUGGAAGUAUCCAUCAAUGGCAAAGGUAGUAGACUUCCUGGGCCAAUUUUGAACAAUCAAUAUUCUUUGAUUUUGAAGGAAACCACCCUGAAUAUGUUAUCCAAGUUCCAUAAAUUGUUUUUCUGCAUUGACUUCGACAGGUUGCAACUUUAACUGGCCACAGUUUGCGGGUGCUCUAUCUUGCUUUAUCACCUGAUGGCCAGGUACUGCAGCAUGAAACAGAAGGUCUUGUUGAGAAUAUAUUUCUCUUAUGCAAAGUAAACAAAUGAAUACCACAAUCUUUUUUUCCCCACAGACAAUCGUGACUGGAGCAGGUGACGAGACAUUACGGUUCUGGAAUGUGUUCCCAUCUAUGAAAACACCUGUAAGUGUACCAUGUAGCCGUAGAAUAGAAUUUUAUGAUCAAGAUAUGCUAUCAUGCAAGAACUUCCUCUUAUCAUGCCUUUCCAAAUAAGGCGCAUGCAUCUAACUAGUAAUCUUUCAGGCACAGGUGAAGGAUACGGGGCUUUGGUCUUUGGGAAGAACUCAUAUUCGGUGACAAUUUAGAAUAAUUGUUCAGGGUGCAAGCUGCUGGGCAAAAGAUUUUAGCAAGCUGUCCAUAUGUUACGCUUUUUCACCAACAGAUUUAUGAUUGAAAAGUUUGGCAAGAAAAAUGGAAUUCUUCUGAAAUUUUUUGAGGCUAACAAUUUUUUUUUUUUUUCAAUUCAUACUAUUAAUUCGUCUGAUCUUGCAAUUUUGCAAAAGAAAAAUGUAAAAGCAUAGACCUAGAAGAUACUAUUAAUGAACUGAUUAGUCCGCAUAAUGAGCGGUACAAAAUAUGAGGGAGAAUUUCUCCAGAUAAUAGAUAUUAUCUAUCGAACUAGCAUACUUUGCCAUCAUCACAUGGUCUGUAAUAUUUUAACAAUCCCUAGGCACCUAACUAGUUUCCCAACUGGAAAAAUGUUGCAAUGCAUUUGCCACAUCAGCAACUAGAAUUCCUAUUUAUAUCUGAGUUUUAUCAUCAUCAUCAUCAUCAUCAUCAAUCAUUCAGACGGGAUGUUGGGGGUGGACAUUUUCUGAUACAAUCCAGUAUGCAUGUUGGAUGAAUAUUUCCGUCCCCGUUACAUUUGUUAGCACACCCGGCGGCGCAGUCCUCAUAGACGCCCUCCGUACCGAUUUUUUCUCUAGGAAUUGGCGGGUCUGCUAUUGCCCCCGCCGCCACCACCAUCCCAAUUAUCAUCAGACCAAGAAAACUCGUCUUUCCCGCUUCCAUUGGCUGCAUUUCUGUCUUCGUAAGCUGCAAAAAGAACAGGACACAUUUUCUAACAUAACUCGGGAGACAUUUUAUACUUGAAAACAUUGAACAACUUGCUUGUAAUUGAAUGUCUUUUGCAUGUAAAUCGCUUGCUCCCACGACCGGAUCCCUAGCAAUUCAAACAGUGGCACAGCUGGGAUCUAGGUUCAGGGAUUAAUUUUCGACGUCACGUCAAAUGUAGUUACGAUCAACAUUUUACAAUUUUCCCUUAUGUUAAUUAAUUAUAUUUUGAAGUCUAAAUUGUGCUAUAAUAUAGCGAUAGUUUAGAAACGUAAUAGCAGUCUCGAACUUCUAAUUUUACAUCAAUAUCUCUAAUCUUAAUUAGAUCCAACGUUCUUUCAAAGUGUAAGAAUUAAGAAUUUUUUAUAUUAUUGAACGGACAAUAUAGAUAAGAAAAAGACUUGUCAAAAUUUUAAAGGAGCAAUGUCGACAAGAAAAAGAAUUUUAAAAAUUUUUGAAUGUGAAAAUAGGGAAUAGCUUAAAAAAUUUCCAGAGUUUCCGAACUUUGAAAAAAAAAAAAAAAACUCUGUCAAAGUUGAGAGGGUACACUGCCGAUCCUCAAUUACAAUUUUUUUUUUAAGAAAAGAAAUCUCACUUAUCACGUGAUGGUAGAAAAAAUUAAAUAAAUAGGACACUUGGCAUAAAUAUAAAAGUGGCACUGAAUUGCCACUGGAAAAGUGGCACUGAGAAUCCCGUGUGCCAAAAUUCCACACAUUAUCAAGUGAUGAUGUAACCAACACCCCAAAUGUUGCUGGCCACCACUAAGUCCUCAAGGUUUGGUGGGAUGGAAGGUCAAGCAUUCAACUCUUGACUCUCAACAAUUGUCACAAUAUGUGAUCUUUUUAUGCAUUCGUCUGAUCCGACAGUGAUUUAAAUCUCCAUCAAUCCUUCGUAGACAAGCGACAAUGCAUUAAACUUGCAAUGUAAGGGUAUACUGAUUAGGCCUAGUACUUGUGUAACACAAAAAUAGUUUUCCACCACGUCCGUUUACCAUUAAAAUUUCUAAUACAUGAAUAAAUAUUGAGAAUGUCCAAAGAACACAUCUUGGCUUUGCACAUAUAAAAACGGGAGGUGCAAUUGCCCUGCCUCCUUCAUCAAUUGAAAAGCAUCCCAGAUGGCAGAGCAGUGGAGCGUGGAGGGCAAGUCUGAACACACUCGUCUACACAUGUUUGGUUGAGAAAUCCUCUAGAAGUACAGGUAACAUAACAUUUGUAGCGGCAGCACUGAUUUGGUGUAUCUGGAACGCAAUGCAUGAGACAAUUGUUUGCACAGGUUUCGUUGAUGAAUCCCCCACGAGCACAGUUCACAUCGCAUUUGUAUCGGCAGCAUUCAUCGAGCGGCACAUUCUCAACUGUUGAUGAUUCUUUGCCCAUCACUGACUGUGCUAUUAUUGCCACUGUCAACAGUGUCAUGAGUUCUACAGCAAUCUUCCCUGCCUCCAUUUUAUCUACUGCUAGUUCUCUUCUUUGUGACUCGCUAAAGAUAAUAACAUUUGAUAACAUAUCUUAGCACUUAAUUCAUACUCUAUAAUAAAGAAAAGGGUUCAAGAAGUUAAUUCCAAGAUUUGGGCAUUUAAUUGAGUAGCUUUGAAUGGCAUCAAAUCAAUUACACUUCCUAUGAGCAGUGUACAAAUACCUUGUAUACAAUAUAGUACAAGGCAACCUUGUGUAUGUAUUUCAGGCAGUAAAUCUUGUUAAUAAGUUGGCCAACAAUGGCGGAACCAAACUAUUGGUCAGUGGGGACACUAGCGGUACUUAUUUGAGUCUAAAUCGGUUCUCAAAAAACUGAGGAAAGAUUGUAAAUGUAUUUCUUUUUCACAUUAUUUCACAUUCCUUCUUUACCUGAUUGUUAAUGCCUUUUACGACAGGGAUUAAUGCUAAUUUGAUUUUGUUUCUAUUUGAAGAUUUUGUGGGUGUUAGUUCCUGUAGAGUAAUUAACAAAAUUAAAUUGGGGGAGAGGGGUGUUUGGGGACAACAGCCUACUUUCAACAACGCUACUGCUGGCUAACCAUUUCUACGAAAUUAAAAGCCAGACAUGCUAAUCUUUUCUAGUAAUGAUGCUUUGACCUUUCUGUAUUUUGUUUUGGCAUUUCACAAAAAGGACAUAGUUAAAGUUAAUCAAAUGAAAAUCCAUGUCCUUAAGAUCCAUUGCAGUUGAAAAGCACAUUAAUCAGGUAGUCUCCCCUUUUUCCCUUACCUCUAGUAAUGAAUUUCUUUUCAUGAACAUUAACCUCUUUAACAAAUGUAAAAAAAAUUUUGGCAGCUAUACCACAAUGGAUAGGGUAAAAGUUGGAACAAAAGCUUAACUUCAGAUCAUAGUUCUCUCUUCAUAUCCGCAUUAAAUUUCUGACAUGACGUUAUGUCUUGUACCUGAAAAAUUAACCAACGGCCAUUUUGAAUUAUUGACCAUCACAAAUGCUUUUAAGUGUUUUUGUGAGAUGGGACGUCAAGAAUUUGAUCAUUACCUCUCAUUACUUGUCACUAAAAUAUGACUUCUCUAAAUCCAAACGAGUAUAUAAAGUAUCCGUCUGAUUCGAUAGUAAUUCAGUUCUCGUCGUUCCCCCAUGACUCAAUUGAGCCCUCACUUAGACAGAUCAGUUUAAUUGUAGGAAUAGGAAUAAUAUAGAAAGCAUGAAUUGAUUAAAGAAAAAAAAAUGAAAAAUCUUUAUCCAGACCCAAUCUUGUGGAUCAUGUCUCACAAAAAUAUGGUCUCACUGUCGAACCCUUUAGUGGCCUAUAAACUAUACAAGUUUUGUUUUAAUCAAUUAGCAACAUUUAUUCUAUCCAUCUAAAUAAAAUGGGUGUUUUGAUAUCGUUCUUUGAAUUCUUUUAACGGUAGGGUGCAAGAUUUGAACCCCAACUUACAACUCAAAAAGCGAUUUUAAAUCUUUUUGGUGUCCGUAAAAUCAAAGAUAACAAAAUGUGCCAAACUUGCUUUCCCCCAAGAAAAAUGAAAAAAAAAAUGUUAAACUUCAGUUAUCAACGAUCUUAAUCCUUGGAACAUUGCGUUUUGAGUUGAUUUGCAAUUUUUUUUUUUUUUACAAAAAUUAAAGGGAAGAAACUAAGGCUUUAUUUAUCAUAUGAUCACUAAUACAAGAGACCGAAAUUUCAAACAGCACAAAAGCUUUUCCGUAAAGCUUAUUUUCCGAAAGAAAAAACUAGCCAGACGGCUUUGCAUGAGAUGCCGUUGCGAUGGAUUCUGGAGGACACUUCUUGAGACAAUUCUCCACACAUUGUUCAUUGAUAAACCCACCAAAAUCACAGGCAACAUCGCAUCGGAAACGGCACUCGGAGCUUGGCGACUCCUUGCCGAUGGGUUCGCCGUCCACUGCUGAGCUUGCCAUUGCCAGCGUCAGUAGUAUCGUCAGACCUACGCUUACCGUUCUUGCCUCCAUUUGAUGUAGCUCUCUUUUUACUAGUAUUUGCCUAACUUGAGACAUCUGACAGUGAUAUGAUGACCACGAGGUAUUUUAUACUUUCAACACAAGAUGCAAGAAGUUAAUUCAAAGAUUUGAGCAAUGUAAAUUGAAUAAUUUUGGAUAAUGUCAAAUUUAAUGGCGUCUAAUUUUAUGAGUAGAUUCUGACGCGUGAUAUCAGUCUUUACGUCUAUAUUUUAUCCUAUCCUAACAAUAAUAUAAAGAUGCAAAUCGGUUGGAUGAACAGUGAAUUUCGUCCCCUAUCAACACCAUUGGUGUGUGGAUUCUUUGGUCAUUUCACAUGGAUUUUAUGCUGAUGGGUUUCCACGGUUGCACAUAUUUUUGGCUGCAAUUCGUUGAUACCUUUUUCAUGCUACCCUUGGAUGUCACUUUUACCCCUGAUGGAGUAAUUAUCCAAAAGAAAUAGAGUUGGCUUUAUGAUCUUUUGGUUCGGUCCAACUCUUUCAGACACCUGCUGUAUCAUGACAUGGCUAGGCUUCCAAUUUUGCGGUGCGGCUAAUUUAAACCACUUGGCACAUCUCUUUAUGUUCCGAUGAAUAGAUUAUUUCUGCACAAUUCUGCUUCCAAGAUAUCAGUACAGUGACCUCUGCCUCAAUCUCUGCUCCCACUUCAGCUCAAGCUAACUGAGCUCUCAAAGAAAAUAGAGAGCCAACUAAAACAACACAAAGCGAAAGGAACCUGCAAGCAGCAAAAAAUCCACUAAAGCAUGCAAAACUAGAAUAAAUGCCCUCUUCAUCCCCAGCUUCAAAAGCCUCCAACUGUUGUUAUCAGCCUUUGCAGACCAAAGAAUAAAAGCAGCAGAGGCUCCACUCUUUUGUCAAGGCUAUAUUUUGGGUACAUGUCAAAUAUGGCACAUGGUUUAAAGCUCAGAACAACUGGAAGGGUGAAAAUAAAACUAAAACCGUCCCGUUUGCACUAAAUCCACAUAUCAUCUACAACGUUGCCUCGAGCUCUUCCAGGUAGGAUCGAAUACACUAUUGCCAACAAUUUGGCAUACGCUAAUUUGGAAUACAAGCAAUUUGUAAUACAAACAAUUUGGCAACAAUUUGGAAUACAGAAUUUCUGCAUUCUGUUCACAUUUGUAUUCAUGCUCUAUUAAAUCCAGAAGAAACAAGCAACGUCAAACAUCAUUUUUUCAAAGACAAUAAUCCUUGGCAAAUCAAGUAUAUUUCUCUGGAGCAUGACCUCGUAGCUUUAGGUCUCAACCGUGCUGCCUUUUUGAAAAGGGGUUUGCAGAUGUGACUAAAAUCUGCAAAGCAAAUGAUAGUACUUCAUAAGUCUAUUACACGCAAAUUACUUCAGACCAAUAAGAAUAAACUGCUCUGAGUAACAGGAAAGCAACCUUUAACAUCUUCACUCUCCAAAAGCUUUACAACAAGGUGGCCUCCAGGCAGCAGAAUCCCACGAUGCUCUGGAUCAGAACCAGAGACAUCUGAUUGUUCCUUUUGUUCAAUACUAUCAUCAGCCUGCACCAAGCCAGCCUCCCCAACAGCCAAUUCAAGUGUUCGCAUGCCCAAUUCUGCAGACAAAGCUGCAUCCCUAGCUCUGAUCCCAGAAACCAGCGGACACAUAUCAGACAGAAUGACUGAGAACCCUUUUUGCUGCAAAAAAUUGGAACCAAUUAAGGACCAGCUAAGGAGUUUGCCUCCAGAAAGCAUAGAGCUGACUCACAGAUAUCAUCACAAAUGCAACUAUGCCAUGAUGUCACAUAGAGCUGCAGAAUACAAGGACAUCUACAAUGCCGAGAAAGAGAAAAUAUGUGCAUGUGCAAAAUAAGGAGAAAAUUUCCCUUUUUCUACAAACAUAAUUAUUAUUGCAAUGCCAGAAGGUUCCGGGCCCCAAAUCAAAUUAGUAACAUAAUUCUUGGCAUGAUAUAAGUAGCAUAUUUCUUCAGCAAUCACUACAAGUAUUUACUCUCGAGUCCAUAUAGUAAAAGCAAAGAAAACAGACGUCUAGAUUGCAACUAGGAAGACGCAUUUCUUGCCCAAUAACUCCCCAAUUCACUGCAAUGUUGUUAUCAACUCUGUCCAAAUAUUGGGUACUCCAUCUAUUAUCAUGGAAUCCGUUGAGAGAAGGCCAAAACUCAGCUAACUCUAGAGAGGGAGGAUCAUCAUAGAUUCUUAGUAUAUACUCUGUUCUUCUUAAUCAGUGACCAAGAUGACCAAUGCACUUUCUAACUCAAGAAAAGAAUCAAAUAAAUUUUCUAUUUCAGUUAACCACAAUAUAUCAGAAGUCAGAACUGCAAACUGCAAACAUGAAACUCAAUUUUUGACAAUACCUUGGGGGAGAGAGCCCUAAUUUGAUCUUUGGGUAAGCUCAUUACAUCAGCACAAACAGUCUGAACCCUUGCAUCACAAUGCAUUGACGGAACCUUCACCUUCUGCUCUGCACCACAGCCAUAACUCUCAUUAAGUCACAAUCUCUCAUUACCCCGCCAAGCUUAACGAAACUACCAGCAUACAUUCACAAAAUAAGUUUCACAAAUACACCAAGAUAUAAUAAAGAUUGGAACUUGACAGUAACCUUAAGAUCGAUCCCCACAACAGCCCCGCCUUUCUGUAAUGGUCCCAAGCUCUGGCAUGCCACCUGCAUCGCAAUUACAGAUAAAUAAUCCUAGAAGCCCACUUUUUUCUUCAUCAAUCCGAAAAAACACCAACUUUAGAUGAAAAGAAAGAUCAAACUAUUAAAAAAAGAAAAACGGUAGAACCUGAAGCCAAGCACCAGGAGCACAGCCCAGGUCAAGAACAGAAGAACCAGGCGUUAUCAAUUUGUACUGUUUCUGCAUUUGCAGCAACUGCCCUUCCCAUCACAGAAUUUGUAGUUUUUCAAAAUGUCAGAGCAUGACCAAAUCCAACUACGAAAUGGGUUUUUCUCGUAAUGUGUUUAAGAUUAUAAAUUUCAUAUUCAAUUUGUUCUGGUAGCAUUUCAUAUCCAGUUUUAUGAUUUCUUCAUUUUUAGCUCUUUUGUGGGGAAAAAAAUUCAACAAAAUUUACACAAGUGGGGAAGGAGAAAAAAUUGAACUGUACCUUGAAGGCAGAGCGAGCGACAUAGCCAAGGCGUUGAGCUUCUCUGUAGAAGAAAUCGGGCGAUCCUGCUGCUCCACUCAUGGUUCCUCUCCUUUUCUGCUUUUGCUGCUACAUCCUUCUUGGGGGUUUAAAAUAGGGCUUAUGGAAAUUAUUUACGUUUUGAAACUUGAAAGUCUGGGGUGGGGCUGCUAGUCGAUGUUGGAUCGGGUCCGAAGAAAAAGUAGAGCUGUAAACGAACCGAAUCGAACCGAGUAUCUCAUGUUUGAGCUUUGUUCGUUAAGCAGUUCGAACAACGUUCGUGUUCGUUCGUUAAUUUUCGAACUCCAAACAUAUGUUCGUGUUCGGCUCGUUAAGCAAAAUUCGUGUUCGAGUUCGAGUUCGUGUUCGACUCGUUUAACAUAAAUGAGCCGUUCGCGAACAUGCUCGAAAUGCUCGAAUCCAAAUUAUUUUAACCCUUAAAUAUGUCAUGCAAAUUAUUAACCAUUCUAAAAAACAAUUAAAGCACUAAGUGACUAAAUUCUAUUAUUCAUUAACUAUAUAACUAACAUUAACAUAAAAAUAACAAAUAAAACAAAGCAAUUUGCCCUCCAAAUAUAAAAGUCCAGCCAUAAAAUUAACCCUAAAAUUUAUCAAAUGAUAAUUAUGUCCAUGUUCGCGAACGUUCGUUAAAACUCACGAACAUAUUCGUGUUCGCGAACGUUCGUUUAGUAUGUUCGCAAACGUUCGUUAAAACUCGCGAACAUGCUCGUGUUCGCUCGAUUAUUAAUCGAACAAAAAAAUUCGUUCGAACUCGGUUCGUUUAAGAUUUCGAACGAGCCUUUCACGAACACGAACGAGCCGAAACGAACCGAGCUACCGAACAGCUCGGUUCGUUUAACAGCUCUAAGAAAAAGUAACACCUGCUACUUCAAACUCCGCAGAAAUUGGAGUUGCUCGACUCCAAUUGGAAUAAAUUAUCACAUUUUACCAACUUGUCUUUUUGGUACAAAAAACAGGCUCUAAGAUUAAAUUGAAUUGUAUUAAGAUGCAUCUUCCUUAGUAUUAUUCUGCAUGCUAUAUUAGCCUUAAAUGGGAUGUAAAUAAAAGAUCGAUGGGCUACCUAUGCUAUUAGGUGCUUAAAAUGAAAAAAAAAAAAAGAAAAAAGACAAACGCUAUUUCUGUAUUCAAGGAUGGAGGAGCCACCUUCUACUCAGAGCGAGCAAUUGCACUCCCUUAAUGUUGCAAAUUUUAAAAAAUAGACUUUACAAAUUUUUAGGUUAUUUUCAUAAUUGCACCCCCUCAAUUUUUACAUUUCCCCCUCACCCACCGUCACAUUAUUACUUCCCGAAGCAACCACCGCAUCAUCUAUCCUAUAUACUACAUUGCCUCAAAGCUAUUAAAUAACAAUUAAUAACAAAAUUUUGUUAUUAAGGACACAUAAUCUCAAAUCGAAUAAAAAAUUUUUUGUUUUUGACAUAAUGGCAACAUCAUUAUAAGCGUACAAUUUUGUCUCUAUUGACUAUAGGUCAAUAGACUCCAUCAUUGUUUAUAUCUCAAGAUUUUCUUGGAAAAUGGCUCUAGUUUGUUAAGAGCUGCUAGAAACAUACACGCUUCAAUUAACAUAUAUUAUGACCCAUCUUAGGUCAGUGUUAAUACAAAAUUUAGGACAAAGCAUAGCAAGGUUGACAGAGUAGAUCCAUCCCAUAUCGGUUGAUCGUGGGGUAUUUACUUUGGGUUUAAGGUCCAUAGGAGCACCUUCUUGUCACCAAUUGACUCGGUGGGUGUUUCUUGUAGGUACCCCUUAGAUUGCUUUCGGACCGGUUUGCUGAUGCUUGCUGCGUGUCAAAUCAUUGUUUGUGUGUGUGUUUUAUUUCGUUGCGGAAAAAAAAAAGAAAAAGGCAGAGUAGAUGGCAAGUAAGUUCCUUCCUGCGCGCAGUGCCCAAAAUUGAAAAGAUCGGAUCGGACCAUUUGCAUGCAUGCAUGACUUGCUGAGAUCUUGCGGGGAGGGACUCAAACAAUUCUCUAGUUAUGGCAGGUAAAAAUCCUUCGUCCUGCCAUUAUGUUAUGGCAGGUAGCCUCUAUCGUGGCUAGUCAAUGGGCAAACCAUGAUGAAUCUUGAAAACCGGCUAACUCAACCAUAACUAGGGAUAGGGGAAGGUUCCUGGGAACUCGGGUGUUUUUGAGUAGGGAUGAUAUCUGCAUUGCAUGUUCUCCAUCACCAAUAAUAUUUACAAUGUCGCUGAUGUCUUCAAUGUUACGUUUGAGAGGGUUUUUUUUUUUAAUUCAUUUUUUAACUGAAAUCACGGAUUUUGAAUUAAUCAUUUAGAAGCUUGAAUACUAUAUAAUUUGCACGACAUCUUUACUUCGGCAUAUCUUAAGCUUUUUCUCUCUUUUUUUUUAAAUUAAUAUCCACGGAUCAAGUGUUGGAUGGCUACUUACUAUCAUUUAAAGAAAGAAAAAAAUAAAACAAUUGCUGGAUAGCUGAAUAGCUAGUAAAAGUUGUUUAAUUAAUUAGGUAAUCUAUGUCAACACGCAUGUAUGAUCACGAAGUCUAUAAACUUCUAAUAUUUUAGAUAUAGCAUUCCUUUAUUAUUAAUUUUGUUUUUAGCCUAGUGGAUGAAUAGGGCUGUCAACGGGGCGGGUCCGGGCCGGAAUUCAUUAUUCCGGACCCGGACCCGAAUUACUAUGCCGGAUCCGGAUCCGACCCGUUUAUCCGACGGGUCUUUUAUUCUAUGUUCCGGACCCGGAUCCGGCGGGUCCCGGAUCCGAAUCCGAGUCUACCCGAACAAAUUUACCAAAAUUUAUAAUUUCUAAUAAAAAUGAGAAAAAAAUAUAUUUGUAAACUAAUUUCUAACUAAUGCAAAGAAAAAACCAAAUAAGAAAAGAAAUCAAAUUAACUUUAUUAAAAUACAUCACCCUAAUCAAAUUAUAUUAAUAAAUAUAUAUUUUUUAAAUUAUUAAUUCAUUUAUAUCCGGAUCCGGGUCUAAUACGGGUCGAAAUACUAUAUUCCGUAUCCGACCUGUUUUUUUGUUUGACAAAACGGAUCCGGAUCCGGGAAACGGAAUUAAAUCCCUACCCAUAACCGCAAUAAUUUCACGGAUCCGGUCCGGAUCCGGAUCUAGACCCGACCCGUUGACAGGCCUAUGGAUGAACAUCUAAUUAGUGACGCACAUUAAAAACAUAUUAUUGUGUUGAGAAGGCCUUAAAAAAAGACACAAAUGCUAAAUCACACGCGUUCAUACAAGAAAGUUGGGGAACGUCUUUUGGGUCUCAUGAGAAUGGUGCGCACUGACGUUAAUAAAACAAUUAAAUUAAUGGUUCCAGAAGUUGGUCAAACGAGAUGUAUAGAUUGGCAAAUAAAAUACUCACUCCACAACUUUCAGAUGUCUCACUGACCACUGGUAUUGUGACUGUGAGUCUCCCCCGACGUUACCAUUGUACUGCAGCAUUGUUGCCAGAAAGUAUGCAGUCCAACACCACUAAUAAUCAUUUGGGGCCAUUAAGAGAGUUUUAAAAUUUUAUUUGGGUGUAUGUCAAGCGAUCAAAUCCCUUGAUUUAUAUGCUAAAUAUCCCAAAUUUCCUGAAAAUAUUUCAUCAGCGGAUACGUAGGUAUCCAUUUAGGCCGGUAGUAAUCAGUCCCCUCCGAGUUCCUCGCUUGACCCCUUUGAAUUUCCCUUCCCCUGGUAUUACUAGAGUACGAGCAAAUGUAAAACAGAAUCUAUUGUGUCCGAUUAAAAAAAAAAAAAACCUAAAACAAUGAAGCAUUGACACGUUUUAACAGUCAAAAUGGAGCCUUUCAAAGAUGGCUAGUACUAGUAGCAUUGUUUAUGUUUCCUGGAUUGUGAGAUGAGUAACGCGUCUCCGCGUUUAGCAAGAAUUCUAAUGGGUGGUCUGCCAAGUCUAUCUAUUGGAGCGUUAUCCGCAGGCUUAGUCUAAACAAACGGUAAUGAAAAUGCUUAUCUUGUCGGCGCAUACAUUACAACCUUUCAAAACAUAUAUACUAGUAAUAGCCAAUCCAAUUGAUGCAUGAUUACACGGUGCAUUGGUUUGUUAAAUCGUCAACAACAUCAGACAUGACAAAACUCACCUACUCUCACGAGUCUAUUCCAAGAUUUGGAAUGGAACAGAAACAGUUGGAUUCAGGUAUGCACUUACCUCAACUAACGAGAAAACAUACAAGUCAAUUGCUCGUGCAAGUGAACUGGAUGUUUCCACCCGUCCUCAAAGAAGCUGAUUGAAGCGAGCCAAGACUAGCAUAUCUGCCCCUAAAGACAAGAAACAAGCACUAAUUUUUAAGAACAUGAGCAGUUGAAUCAAUGUGAACUUCUUCAUAAGGCAACAACUAUGAAAGUUAAAAGGCCCUCAGAGUUCCCAUGAACAGUUGUAGGAGGAUGUUACUUUGGCUGUCUGGCAACAAAAAUUCUAAAACAAUCUUUUACCAUUUUCAUUCACUGAACUUGACUGCUAAUUACAGAUACCAGAGAAUGCAUGUAUAAAAGCUCUCCAGUUCUACUUUAUUUGACUUCUACGAAUCUUGUCACACAGCACAAGCAUGGAUGUCUGUUAUAGGAAUCCUAUGACAACAUAACACUGCUUCUAGUCAUUCUAUGUCGACUUGACAACCGCUGGAAUUUCCAAUUUCUAGUCCCCGUAGCAGGAUAUACCAAGACAAGAAUUGGGAAAUCUGCUUCCAAUUAGCUUCUUGAAGAACGAAGAAUAAAAAACAAUCUCGAUUAUAUCGCAUUAUCUAUGCUGACACUGAUAAUUUGCUGAAGUUGAGAAGUUUUUCACAUCUAACCAGAAAGGACCUAGUCCAGAAGUUGAUCAGUACCUCGUCUUCAAAAACUAAUGCAUGUAUGCAAAAUUAAGAUUUGGAGGAUUCGAUGAUAUCUGUCAUUUCAAGAAUAAUAACCAACAAAUUCAAUCAGCUGGCCUCCAAGAAGAGAGAGCAUACAGAAUUCGUCCCUUCCAACCCUGCAACAGCCACUGGCUAUCUUCGUCAAUCACAAAAUCCUUGUCAUAGGACUUUGCCCGUUCUUUUGCCAUCCUCAUGAUAUCCUCGUUCAAUGGAAGCUGUCUGAAUCCUGCCCGUAAAUUUCGAACCUGCCAUUGCUUGUAAGUCUCUGGUCGCUCAACGCGCUCAGCAGCUUCACAUGCAAUGACAUUCAUUGCCUCUCGUCCAAAUAUUGUUUUCUCAAGCAGCAUUCUCUCAUGAAUUUCACGGGGAAUAUUAACCUCUAGCAUAUCAAAGAAAGAAGAAUAAUGAAAUAGAGCCUCUCGGAAUCGAGUGACAAAGAAAGGAGCAUUAUAUGCACCGUUGACUAUCCCUAGCACGAAAACGUCCGGUUUCAUCUUCCUAAUGAGGUUCAAGACGAUGUUUCGCGGACUAUUCACCACAACAGUCUCAUCGAGUAGAUUCCUCAUUCUAUAGAGACAGUUCACGGCAAGCACCUCAUCUUCACGGAUCUUCAGAUCUUCAAUCCUAACAGUUUCCCACUUCUGUGCUAUAGCAUUGAACUCAAAUGGGACUUUGAAAGUCUCAGCAUAAUUAGCCAGACGGCGACCUGUCUCCUCAACCCUCUCUGCUGGUCGAAAUCCAGGAUGUGGAAGAUCAAUCCCCGUGAUACGAAGUUUGGGAGGACCACCUGGUCUAGAUGAGAGGCGUUGUAUGAGGCAUGGCCACUGGAAACCAUAUAGAAUACCAAAAUCAAUUAUGUGUAGCGUUGAGCCUUCCUCAGCAGCAUGCCAAAUCAUCUUAUUGGAGAAGAAAUUAGAGAUCUUCCUAAAUGGACAGGCAGCAAGAUAAAGCUGGUAAGCUUUUAAGACAUCAGCAGCUGAUGUAGGCAUGGUAAUAAGGGCUUUGUAGAUCUGAGUGCCGGAGCCAGCCAUGCGUGCUUCAAGACCAUCAGCGAAAUAUUUGGCCAAUCGUUGCAUCCCAUCCCCAGUUGGAGAACAAUGUUGCCUAAUCUGCUUCAAAAACUCAUUUGCAGUCCUUCGAUCAUCAGCAGCAACAGCUUGCGCACAAAGGGUCAAGAGGGUUCUCAAAUCGACCACGUUCCUUUUAGCCGCUUGUUUCUUGCUACGAGAUUUCCCACCACUAGAACCCUUUAAUUUAUUGUUCUGUGGAACAUUUUUAACCGCUAUAUCCUGUAAUGCUUUACGGAGAUCAGACUCAUUUCUACCUCCACUGCAUAACAGCACCUUAUCAAACAGAUCCGACCUCACAGUUGAUUCAGUGAACACAGCUGACUGCUUGUUACUCCUACCUCCCAGUUGUUGCAAAUCUUCAUGAAGAGGAUUUUUCUUCCCCCUUGACUCAUCAGGUGAAUAUCCAUUUUCACUCCUCUCUACCUUGACAGUCAUAGGCCAUUUUUUCUGGUCCUUAUCCAACAACCCGUUCUCAUGGGAAUCAACAAGCAAAGCAUUGCCAUUAGGAAGGAAUUUACUUGCUUCCUCAACCCCCUUCUUAAAUUGCAUAGCAGACUGGCUAUCACUAAAUAUAUCAGAAAUCCUAAGGAUACUAUCAGGAGAAUCGAUAUGCCCAUCAGCGACAGUCCCAGUGCUAUUUGAUGAACUGUAGGGUGAGAAAUGUUGUACGUAAGUAGAAUCCGAUCCACUAGCAUCAUUAUUCCAACUUGGGCACCAAAUAAGACCAUCAUAACCCCCAAGAUAGCUUUCGUCCCUACUUGGAACCCUCAGAUUCGAACUGGGGACCUGAUGAUCAGGUGGAGGAGGAUACUUCUCGCCAAGAACAUCAUAGAAUGAUUUUUCCGCCGCUUGAAGAGCGGCCGACUCUUGAAACAUACACCCCUUAUCCUCCAUCUCCUCUUCCAUAAGUAUGUCAUUUAUAUACUUAAGUACCGCAUCACUAAAAUCAUAAUCCUCGUUCGAAUCACCGCUUGACAGCGGAACAAAUACAUUUGGAUAUAGGUGAGAUUGGACUGACAAACGGGAAGCAUAAUUUCGUUCGACUACAUUACCAUCGAGUCUUAAACUGCCAAUCAGAUUGGGAUUAGGAACAACAGAAACACCUUCAUUAUUAAGCUCAAUUCCAGAGGUGGUCCCAUAGCCCACUCUUGAGUUUCCAUCCAUAACCAUGGAUUUUUCGUCAGCAGCAACACUUUUUAACUCCUAGAGCUUUCCAACCUCGAUACUGUUAGAUUCUCCUUGAAACACUCUUUUCCCAACUACUUAGAACCGGCACAUACGGCAAGAAUUUCCAAGGUACAAGCUUUGAACAUCAAAUUCAGAACCCAGAAACUAGAGCCCUGAAACAAGUCAAGAACACAAAAGUACAACUAAAAUUCAUGAUAAGAAGAAUGAAAGAUUUAACUAACUAUUGACAAAAUCAAAGAAAGAGCAUAUCUUUAGCAUAACUUUAAAGGAAAGAGAAAAAAUGGAUAAAAAGCAAAAGAAGUCCUCAGAAAUUACAAGUCACAUAACAUUUCCUUACACCAACUCUAACAACAGAGCAAAAUCAGAUUCAAAAUCUUUGAUGGCUUCAAAAAGUCCCAGAUGGGAGCGAAAUCAGAUAAACAACGGUUAGGGUGCUUGUAUACCAGUAGUUGUAUGUGAACACUGGAACUUUCAACAUAGAACUUUCCGUGGGAUCCGUACCGGCGCAAUAGGAUAGCAUUUUUCCCAGCAUACAUACUACUAUCAAACAGUAGGAAAAUGUUAAGCAAGUACCUGAGAGAAAGCGCGGCAGCAGGGGACCGAGUGAAGAAUUUUAGAAUGGAUCAUUUUUGCUAGCAUUCAAGCUAAAGGGUCUGAGGAUGACAGAGAGGGAAUCUGAGCCGUUGAAUAUCCAAGUGGGGAGGCUGGGAGUGGGGACUAGGCAGAUUGAUGAAUGGAGUUUUAUAUUUUUGAUGGCAGAUAGUCAACUAGUUGCUCUGGUUGUUUCUUCUUAAUGGUCGUUAAGUAGUACUAUUUAGUAUUUAUCCUGCAGCCAAAAAUAGAAAAGAUUUCCAUUAAUUUUCUGCAGCUCUAUGGUACUUACUAUUUACUAUUUUCAACCUGUUUCGUCUCGUUCUCUUGGUCGUCAGUUUUCCAUACGAGAAGAUUGUGAGUUACCUCGUCUUAUCCCUGGACUUGGAUGCCACAGAUUAUGUCUUCAUUGCUUGGAAAGUGGGUACAUGCAUCAAUUCGCAAUUAUCCUCGUUUUAGAAAGUAUAUUAAUUUCUUGUCGCUUCUAGUCGAGAACUGGAUGAAAUCUUGACUAUCUUUUUUCUCUACUUGGCAACUUGUCAUCUUCCUUCCUUCCCCGAUGGGACCCUCUAAAUUAACUUCUCUUUGGCAUCUUGGUCACAAUUUCUUGUUCUUCUUUUCCGUUUUUAUCCCUUCCUCCUUUGUGCAACGUGGAUUUGUUUGGGCAAAGUAUUAUUUAAAAUAAUUAUUAUAGUACUUUUUGUAAUAUAAUUUUUGUUUAAAUAAAAAGAUGGUUAAAAAUAUAAAAAAAAUAUAUUUAUAAUGUAAGUGAAAUAUUAUUUAAUAAAAUUGAACUAUUCAAACACACUCAGCGAGUGUUGUACAAAUUGAUCCAACUUUGUAAAUUAAAUUUCGACAGUAUCAUAAACAAGUUUUUAAAUUACAUUUUCAUCAAAAAAAAAUUUAUUUUACACACAUCAAAAUAUCAAAAAAAAUGUAACAUUAUCAUAAAAAAAAAUGUUCAAAUAAUCUUCUAUCCACAUAAACCAUAAAUGCUUUGGCAAACAAUUAGUAAAAUUUUUCAAACUCUUUAAAGUUGAAGGAGUAGUUUGGAAGCCAAAUUUAUUUAAAGAGAACGAAAAUCGGUAUCGCAUAAAAACACUUUUUGUCUACCACCUUUUUUUUUCUGUCAAACGAUAGAAACCAACACACACAAUUAGAUUACACUCAGAGGUUACAUGAAAGACGACCCGAAAGUAAUCUAAGGUGGGACCCACAGAGAACCUCCAUCCAACCAAUUGGUGACAGGAGGAGGCCCCCACGGACCUUAAAUCCAGGGAAACUUCCCCACAAUCUUUCGAUGUGGGAAUGGACACCCAGACCCCCCCCCCCCGAGCACUCUCCCACCAUAGCAUGGUUUUUUUCUGUCAAACGAUAGAAACCAACACACACAAUUAGAUUACACUCAGAGGUUACAUGAAAGACUCUGUUUGGAUUGUAAAUUAUUUGAGAUAUUUUUACUGUAGCACUUUUUGUGAUGUGAUGUAUAUGAGAUAAAAAGAUAAUUGGAAAGAUAAAAAUGUGUGUUGAAAAUUAUAAUAAUGAUGUAAGCAAAUAAAUUUUGACAAAUAAUCCUCUAUCCAAACAAACCUACAGUCUACCACCUUUGCUUGUGUUGGUUUGACCAACACAAUAAAGGGGAGGGGACAAACUCCAUUAAUUGAGAUUCUGUCAAAGGUCCAAUAAUUACUGGCUUGAAAGUUAACAGCUGAAGGCUGCGUUUUGCACAUGUUAACAAUUGCCCCGCCAGCCAAUAGAUUCCGUAUUUUGGAAAUUUUAAUUCUACUGUGUCCAGGCCAUGCUUACUCCUAUGGAUUGGAUUCUGGAUUAUUCUAGUGGGAGUCUUCGGAGUUGGGACACAGUAAAACUGCACAACAAACAAAAAAUGAUUCAUUAUCUCUUAUGAAUUUUGUAGGGCAAAAACAAACUAUCUAAUUGGGAUACACAAUCCUGAAUAGGGAAGAAAUUCUUUAUGGAGGACUUAAAAAGCAAUAAAAUAAAAUAAAAUUCUAUAGAAGAAGGGCAAUGUACAUGAUGUGUAGAAUUAGUAACCCCAAUCAACAUGGAUUGCAUCUCAUAAAAACUGAAAAAAAGAAUAUCAACUUAUCUUUUUUCUUAAGAGGAGGAAUUAUUUUUGUUUUAUUUGGGGUGAAUAAGUAGUUUAAUACUCGAAUAUUUAUUUAGGAAUAAUUUCAGAAACCUCUCUUGAGGUUUCAUGAAAUAUCAUCUAGCUUCUCUAAACUUUUCAAAAUCUCACUUAGCACCCUUGAAGUGAUAGCAGGGCCAUAUACUAAUAUCAAAUGUGUUGAAUUGUCAAUAAUACCCUCAUUUUUAAUUUUCUAAACUUGUUUUUCUUUCUUUAAAUUUCCUACUUUUCUUUAAUAAUGUCUAUACAAACAAAUAUACAUACAUACAUACAUACAUAUAUAUAUGUAUGUAUAAUUGAAUUGCAAACGUCAAUGAAAUAUUCAAUGCAUUUGGAGAAGAAUAGCUGCAGGUUCUUUUUAUUUUUUCCCUUUUUUGGUGUUUCACAACUUUAUUUAUUUAUUCCUAUUCAUAUAGAGUGCAAGAGAAAUAAAGUAAUUGAAACUCCAAAUAGUUUUUCAAAUUCUGACUUUUUCUAUAAUAAAAUUUUCAUAUUUCACACCCAUAAAAAAAAGUCUGUCUAUUUUGAGUAAAAUUUUUGUAUGAUAUUGAAGUUGAAUAUUAUCUAUUACUAAGGCCUUGCUUGGAUUGCUGUUUUCCGUAGAAAAAUUUCAUCAUUUUCCGUGAACACAUUUCCCUAUUACCUUUUUUCCUCACAUACAUCAAAUCGCUACAGUAUUUUUUCCAUGAAAAAUGACGGAAAAUGCAAUCCAAACGGGACCUAAGUUUUUUUUGCUCAAAUGUAUGAUUUUACAUGCUAAUUACCUUCAAUACUAUGAACGGUUCUAUUUGUAUAAAUAGUUUAAAAAAUAAUAUUUUCUUUUACUAUUUCUUCCUACUGUAGAAGUGACUAUUGGUUGUAACAUAAAAUCUUAUCAAUUUUCAUCUCCUCACUUUUAAAAUGGUUCCAAUUUAGUAUUUUUUUUCUUGGUUUAUAAAAUGUUCAUUUUUUUUAUAGCCUAAGGGUAUUAAAGACACUAAAAUAAUCUCUCUCCUCAAACAUGAAUUUUUUAAUAUUACUUUUGGUUAGAAGGGCUUCCAAUGUUACCAAAUUGUCAAUUCAAUGGGUGCUAAGUGAGAUUUUGAAAACCUCGAGGGGGCUAGGUGAUAUUUCAUAAAACCUCAGGAGAGGUUUAUGAAAUUCUCCCAUUUAUUUAUCCACGUCCUCGUUUCUAGAAUCAAGUAUGACAGGCACAUGCCAGUGUUGAGUGGAAUGCUUACCAUAUUUUAGUGGGUACCAGUUGUUGUUGCCCACUUGGCCUUCGUUAAAAUUUUUCCGGCUCACAAGUUGUUGGCACCGGAUAAAAGGCAAAUAGAACAGCUAGAUGAAAAUUGGGGACCAAAAUUUUCUGUCUCUUGUAGAAAAGCUCAUCGGAUGAAUGCAUCCACACCAAAUUUACGGCGUUUUCUUGGGUCAUUCUUCAUCUUCGUCACCGUCUGCGGAUCGGAUGUUCGGGUGCCGAGCGCAUAUGCCUUGGUCCACCCCGGUUAACUGUUGUCACAGAGAUGAUAGGCCAAAAUGUGGAUAAUUGUGAUUUUUAAUGAUUUAAUGGUUCAAAUUGUAUCGCACCACCACUUGAUGAAAAGAUAUGACAAAGUUUGGACAAUUAAAUUUUAAAAAAUUAGGUUGAAUAUUUAACAAUUGAAUCUAUUAAGUGUGAGUCAAAAUAAUACCCCGUUUCUCAUAAUAUUUGAAUGACUGAUAACGUUUCUCAUAUCCUCCUCUUUAAAAGUGUCGAGUUUUUGUUGACUUGACAGUCUACAGUGGCGCAGUAUGGUUAUGGGCUGUAAUUUAGAGCUAUACCUAUUUUCCAUUCAAGUUUUUUUUUUCUUAAAGGAGAAAAACACUACUAUGUCAUUCAUUCGAAUCAUUCAAAGUAGCAAGAUACAAUAGAAGAUAGAAAUUUAUUCCACCAUACAAUUCGAUUGUCCAAAGUAAGAGCUAAGUUAGCUAAAAGAUGAGUUAGUAAAUUACCAUAUUUGCAUACAUGCAAAAUUUGACUAUUCUAGAAAGUAUCCCUUAAAUAUCGAGCUUUAUCCACUAGAUGUCCAUUUGUAGAUAAAUCUUCCUCUCCCCUAUUUAAGCAAUCACUUUUCAGAACAAAAGUUUCAAUUCUAACUUUACCCUCUCCAUUGCUAGACAUUGCGCACUGUUAUCAAUUCAGAAAUUACCAAUACCUUUUGUAAAUGCUAUCAACCAAUAUUGUUAAAUUUGGACCGGAUAACGGCUCGACUAAAUUAUUGGGUUAGGGAUCAAUUGGUCGGAUCGUUCUAAAAAAUUCGUUGACAUCAGUUUAAUGUUAUUGAAAUUAAAUUCUUGAUUAUAUUUGGUCAAUCAUGAAAAAUGUUUCAAAAAUAUUAGACUUGCAAUCAAAUAUAAAACUAAUAAUUAUAUAUAAAAAUAUAAAUUCAUGAUUAAAAUAUAUCUAUUCUCCAAAUUACUUGAAAAACUAAAUUAAAACAAAUCAAUGCAAGUUGAAAUCACUAAUGUUAAAUUAAUGAGAUCAUAGGGAUGGGAACAUCUUGAUUUAGAUAUCAUUUAAGAAAGCGGAUGAUUUUGAUAUUUACAUUUAAUGAGUUACAUUUUCUUAUUCCUAUUAAUAAAUUAAAGUAUUACAAUUUAGAUAACUCAAAUUAUGUAUGGGAAAAAAAGACAGAAAAAAUUGAAAACCAGAUCAACCAGUGGAAUCGGUUAAUUGAUUUAGCCAAUUUUUUAUGAUUUUGACUGAUUUUUUAUCAAGCAUUUUAUACUACAAAUUAAUUUGAAAAGAAGUCGAUUCACGAUCGGACUGAUCCAACUAGCCAGUACAGUCCGGAUCUAACAACUUUAGUCAUGGCUUGUCUUGCUUUAUCUCUAACAGUCACUCCAAUAGUUCAACAAUCAAUAACUAUCAUGUUGUUUUGUUAUUUUAGAAGAAAAAAAAUAAAGUUGUGGUCUGACUUUACUUGACAUUUUAUUGAUACUGUCUGUGUAUAAAAUUAAAAUGUAGUGGAGAAUCGGGAUAUCAUAUCCAAAUAAAGUAGGCAUAACAAAUUUGCCUGAAUAUUCAUCACAAUCAAUGAAGUCAACAGUCGAGGGAUUGAUGGACCUUUGCAACGUCCAGUGAGGCUACCCAAGACCAGGGACGUUAACCAGAUGAUUGUAAGUAAGGAUGGCAAAGGGGACGAGUGGCUAAUGGAGCAGGGGUGGGGCGGGAGAGUGUACUCGUGUCCCGUCACUUGUUUUAAAAAAAUAAAUAUAAUAUAUAUAUGUAUAUAUUUUUAUAUAUAAUAUAUAAUUUAAUUAGUUAUAAAUUUAUGAUAAUUAUAUUAUUAGUUAUAUGUAUUAUAUAAUGUAUAUUAAUAUAUGUAAUAUAAUUGAUAUUAUCAAUUAUACUAAUAAUUAUAUAUGUGUACUAAUACAAAUUAUUAAUUGGUUAUACUAAAUUUACUAAUACAUUUAUACAAAAUCCCUAAUUACACUUAAUACAAUAACAUAUUUUUCUCGAAAAAAAACACAAGCACAAUAAUAAAUUAGUGAUGUAUUUGUGUCAAAAGUGAAAACUUGAUUACUUUAAUUGUAUUUAUUUCAUCAUGUUAGAUUGUAUUCAAAUAACUUUUGUUUGAUUGUUUUUAUAAGUUUCAAUUGUGAAAUUACAAUGAAUAAUUUGGUGAUGUGUUGAUAUUUUAGUACUUGAUUAUUUGCUAAACUUUAACUAUAAUAAAAUUAUAUAACAAAUUUUUACUAGUCCCAUGGAAACACCCGCGGAUAAAGCUGGACGGGGAGGGGGGAGUGGGGGACGGGUUCCCGCUCCAACCCCACCCCGUUGCCAUCCUUAAUUGUAAGAUUUCUUCUUCGACUUUCAAUCCCUUUCUUUUUUCUUUUUUUGUUUUGGGUAUCCUCCGAAGUUUGUAUUAUUAAAAUAUUAGAACUUUUUCAACGCAGUUUGUUAUCUCUUCCUCUGCUACUCUACUAACCCAGCAACAUCAAAGAUCACUUUUUCUAUUCUUUUUAACACAUUUGUCAUUGUUUAUACAACCCUAGUUACUUAAUAUUCUCCGAUCUUAACAAGAAGAAAAUAUCAACUUCAUUUUCUAAAAAUUUUUCCAUGUAUUUGACCAGUUAUGUGUAAAUUGAGAAAACGUGUUUAAUUAAUCCAAUCAAAUGACUGAAUUUUAGAUUACUGAUUUAUAACAAAAUGUUCUUUUUCAAUCUUUUGUUUAUAAGUUUGUGGAUGUUAUUGUAAACUAUAUUAUUUUUUAUUAUGGAAUUCAAACUUUUUACUGACGUUGCGACUUUAUUAGGUGUUGUAUAACAUCUAUGAGUAGUUAGUUGUUCCGUUAAAUUGAAUAACUUGAAAUAGACAUAAAGUGAGUUCGGAUUUACUUAUAUUAGGCCUGCUACUCUACUUUUUUUGUGAAUCGAGCAUGAAUUAUAAAAUGUGAAUAAGACCGAAAUGAGCUCAGACUUAAAUAAUGAUAUUUUAUAUGAAUUAAGUUUGAAUAUGUUAAAACCUAACUCAAGUUACCCAAUUAAUAGACGUAUGUGACACCAAGUCAAAUAAUAAAACAACAAACUUUUUUACUUUUUUUUUUUUUUUCUAUUAUCACCAUUUACACUUACUCCUACUAAGGAGGUGAUCCAACAGGAUCACGAUGAAUAUAAGGAAACUACUCGCGAGGAGUCGACGGGGACUACUACUCCUGUUAAGACGGUGAUCCAACGGGGUCAUGGGGAACCGAUAAAUACUAUCGGAUCAUACGGGUGUCUAAUCGACGGGAACUACUACUCCUACUAAGGAGGUGACCCACCAAAGUCACGGAGAACCGAUGGAGAUUGAACUACCAUCAAACCAUCCAGGUGCAAGAGACACUCAUAUAGAUUUAAGAGAAAUCACAUUAAGUAGCAACUUUUGAUGGUAGGUAAUGUUUGAACUUUUAAUCUUCCAUCCUAUAAAGACAUAUGGUGACCAACUACUCUAGAGGUAAUUGGUUAACAAAUUCUUUUCCGCUUGCCAAGGUGAAAUUGAAACCGGCUACCGAGGAGACAAGCAUGACUACGAGUCUACGAGCAUCCUUUUCCGGUCCAUAUCAUCUUUUUCCGUCCAAAGCAAGAGUCCUGAAUUUUUAGGGCCCACAUCUAGCUCGGAAGUUGGUUGCGUCCGGCUAUUGUCUUUACUGGGCUUUACUGUAUUUGAUCUUCUGCAUUUGAGUUUUUAUCAUUAUUAUUAUUAUUAUAGUAUAAGUAAGAGUGUUCUAACUUAGGAUCUAUCACUUACACUCCCUACUCCAAUCUUUUGCAUUUGAGUUGGAAUAUCCCAUGUGAUUUGGAUUUUAUUUUCUCAUAUUGUUAGAAGGGUUAAUCCAAAAAAAAAAAAAAAAGCACUUCCCUUGAUCUUAAAGUAAACAUGUUCGAUAACAAUGUAAUAAAGUUUUCAAUUCCUAAUUUAAUUUUUUUUUACUCCCGAGCACAUGGUAAGUACUAUUAGCUAAUUUACCUUCAUAAACAGAUCCUUUAAUGGCUAUAAUAAUUCUAAGAAUUCUUGUUCAAUUAUGUCAAGAGACAAAAUGUCCAAAAUUAAUUUCUUAAGAAUUUUUGGGUGCAUUGAUAAGAUAUUCAGUCACUUCACCUAAUUGUUUUUUUAGCUGUAUCUUGAGGUUCUUUAUCAAAUUAGAUAGAAUUUGUCUUCAUGGAACUGUUUGGUUGCAGAGGCAGAGCAUCUUUUUUGUGCAGCCUAUUCUACUGGCUGAUAUGGCUUUCAAUCAGUGAAAUCUUAUCAUUUCAAAUGAAAAAGAGAGAAGAAAAAUACCUACCCUUCAAUAAAAUUCACAGAAAAUCAAACUUCCAUAUGUUGCAUCCAACUUUCGGCAGUCUUUUCCUUCAAAAAAACAAAAACAACUUUCGGCAGUCUUCUCAGCAGUACACUGCGACGCCAGGAAAGUUGUAGUGCAGACAUGUAAAGUUUCGAGCCUAGUGCACGGUACGUGGUGGUUUAGGCAGCCCAAAUGGGUCCAAAAUUUCUUUGAGAGUGCACGGUUUCCGCAAAUCAACCAGGCCCAUCACUUCACCUUUUCAAAGGUCUUCAUCCAAUAAUCACGAUACCAAUACCAACAAUCUUGUUUUUCUAGGCCAUGUACGUGCUAUAGCAUCGCCCCACUGGAAUUGGUCUUGUACAAAUUUGGGCUAUCGAAAACGACAAAAGCGUGAUUCGCCUUUUUUUUUUUUUUUAAUAACAAAAAAUCAAAGCAUGUCUAAAUGAUGGAUACCAAUAUAAGAAUUCCUAUAAUCAAGAAGAUGAGCUAUCAUUAAUUUGUGUCGUAUUUUGUUUGGAAUAGGAUUUUCCUUUAGGAAGGAAAAUGACAAACUCAUGCAACCCACAGGAAUGGGCAUAACCCAUGUAGUCGAGAAAUGUCCAAAUCUUUAUUCUUUUUCGGUUAAUUAGGAAUUUAUAGUCAAUACCGACCCUGGCUAUUGGCUGCAAUCUAUAGCUCCUAACUUUCAUAGCUAUCGAUAAAAACUAGGAUGUUAUAAUUAGCACCAUUUUAAUCAUGGACCAAAAGAUCGUGCAAUUGCCUACCAUGUUUUUAGAAACUUAAAUAAGUGGAAUUUAUUCUGAACCUUUUGUUGGUGUUCAUCUCGUUAUUCGUGAGCUAUUAACUAUAGAGCGUUCUUGAAUUGCGAUCAAGAAGUAUUGAUAUAGUUGACCAUGGGAGUUAUUAUUAUUAUUAUUUUUUGUCAAUACAGGGGUAUCCGGAUCUUCGGUCCGACUAAUCUCGUGUACUUGUGCAUCCCACCUUCCAAAAAUAUACAAGACAAGAUAGCACCCGACCACACGGUGCCAGGACCUAAGUAGGCAACCCUGGCAUCAGCCAAACCAACCCCGAGGGGCGACUAUGGGAAUUACUUGUAAUCUUAUUCUUAAAGAAGAGAAAAACGAAUUAUAAAUAUCUAAUGUGGAACGCUUGGACUUAAAGCCUAAUUGAGAUGGCAAGUUGUAAAUACUUUUGAGGGGUUCAAAUGAUAUGCUGCAAUAAUAUAAUCAACCAACAGAACCUUCUUGGGCACAAUCCGGUUGUGGCACGAGCAAGGAAGCUAAUGCAGUCGAGUCAGUCUCAUAGAUGAACUCAUUCAUUUUGCAACACGCUUUUCAAAGUAAUUACUAGGUUUUUAAGAUCUGCAAUACAUUAGCAAAGUUGGUUAAGGAGCCCAAAUCUAUAAUCUAGUGAUUAAGGAAGCAACGCGCAAAAAAAAAAAAAGUGAUUUAGUGGGGGGAUUCAGAUCUGAAUCAGAUGAGGAAAGAGCUGUAAUUGUUGUUGGCAGCCUGGGUUGGGUACUAGUAGUCAAUGGGGAAUUGGCUAAUGUGCCUCUCAUUUAUUUAUUGAUUUAUUUAUUGUCCCCAAAACUUAAAAACUAGAGUAAAACCCAGAUACGUAGCGUGCUAUGUUGGUCUGGUCCAUGUUCGUUCGACCUUUGCUUCAUCCAAACGUAAUCCAUACAAAUGCACCGCCUGAUCUGAUCGUCGAGCCCCGGUUCCCAACCACACCAGAUUUAUCAUUUAUGUACUGCUACAGCCACUAUUUCUAUUGGAUUUCUACUAAUAAGUACUAUACUUUCAAACAAAUACCAAUAUUGAGACAGACUGAAACUCCCACAAAACCGCAAUCUCAAUCAAUCACCUAUAUAUACGUGUGUGUGUAUAUAUAUAUAUAUAUAUGCCCAUCUUUCCACGCAACCAACACUUCUACUCGGCUUUCACAUGCCCCAACGUGCUUUGCUGCUUAAAAUGCUAACUGCUUCAGUCAAGUGUCAAUUAUUAUUAUUACUAUUAAUUAAUGGUCAAUCUCACCGCGUACUUUAUGCUCCAAACACCCCAGGGGUAAGGGUAAGGGUUUUUCUUCCAAGUUUCCCCGACUACACUACACUACUACUACCUCUUACAUAUCGGGAGUAAUUUUUUCACUUCGCCGUACUUACGACACACAACCAAUGGGGAAUGGGGACAACUUCCCUUUGCCGCCACACAAACGAAAACACUACCAGAACUGGAACCACCCACGUUUCUUUCCGCUCAAACUUUGCUUCCUCACCCAAGGAUUAAAAUCUGAAUUCUAAAUUAUUAAUGUUGAAAGGCUUUAACGGGGAGAUUCCAAUUGAUACACCGCAGCACUUUUCACCCAACUUUACAUUCUCCUAGCUACCAUCCGUUUGCCUACCUACCUAAAAAUCUUCUAAUCCAACACCAAUAAGAACUUGGCUGGCGGAACCUGCCUGCAUAAUAAGUCUGCUGAGAAUCCUCAAAUCCACUACCAUGUUCUUAUUUUAUAUGAGAAUCUAUUUUUGCCCACCACAACGUAAUCAAAUUACAGAAGAUAUUCGUCAGUUUUGAGUUUGUCUUCUCAACUCACUCCCCACAUCCACAUGAGAACAGAUGGAACACGCAGCUAAAACUCUCUUCAUUUUACAGCUAAGAAUAGGAGGAUUUCUUUAUAACGAAUAACCAAGAAGAUGUUUCAACAAACAACAACAGCUGUUACAACGUGCACUUUCAUUCUCUUCGUGCCAAUCACCUUUGUUCUACAACUAUGUUCAAAGAAUAGAAUAAUGAAUCAGGAGUCGCUGCUAAAUUCUUGUAAGUGCAACCUUUAUUUCAUCAUUUACAUGUGCCAGCCCACCCCUACUCAAAGAAAUUAGGCUGGCAAUAAAUCAGUGACAGUGAGUGUGACAAUGCUACAAUAAAAUUUCACAAUCUUUUUACAUUUUGGGGUUUUCAUUUCCUACCACAAAUUUUUACAUGCUCACAGGUUGAAACUUCAAGCCUCGUACUUUUCUGCUUGUGCAUCCAUUAUCUG
Molecule: long non-coding RNA, 51018 nt
Filed under: Coffea arabica (coffee)
Lineage: Eukaryota; Viridiplantae; Streptophyta; Magnoliopsida; Gentianales; Rubiaceae
Description: long non-coding RNA (CARA_LNC001523)
Source: RNAcentral